CAUGACAAAUCCUGAAUUUGUAAAAGAUGUCUCCAAGGACUCGAUUAAUGGAUGGUCCAAUGAUAAUGUCUACAACAAUAGUAACAAUGAGAAUAUGGAGGCUUUGUUGUGGCCAUCGCUAGGGAAUAUCUCGCCAUCAUCGCUUACUUUGUCUAUUGCUAUGGCUGCUGGUGAUGUCCUUGAUGAGGAUAUGGGAUUGGAUAGUAGAUUCAUGAAUACUAAUCAGCACAAGUUUUGGGAGAACAGUUUCCCUUUUGCGUCUGGAGGACCAUUAGCUGAAGUUCUACAUCCUAGCUCAUCUUUUAGUCUUGGUGACAACCCAACCUCAUCGUACACAAGCAAUGGCGAUUCAAUAAGCCCUGCAGCAACGACCGUCUCAUCACCAUCUGGGGUUCUUCAAAAGACUGUGUUUUCGCACUCUGAUGGCAGUGUUUGCAACAGCCCAAUUCUCGCAGCUCCAAGUAAUAUUACACCUGAGACUGUUCAAUUCCAGUGGUUAAGAUAGAAUGCCAGAAUGGCUCCUCCUUUUUUUUGUUUUGUGUGUUGUUUUACUUUUCUUGCUUUCUAUCAACUGAAGCCAGAAGUUUACAAAGUGACUGUCUAAGGUUCAUUUUCAGGCAAUUCUCAGUACCCAAACAUAAGAUCAAAGAACUUUUAAGCUAUUACUAUCGUACAAGUUGUUUAGGAAAUAUGUACACUUGUAUGUCCUAAGUGUACAGUUUUCUGCCUUGCUUGUGUUCUUGUUUCUUGAAGUGUUGUGUGUGCGUCUGAACACAUCAAAAAUGAAUUAGAAUGAUUUGAUCUCGGGUUUAUCAUGAAAAUGAACUAUGUAAUUACGCACAUUUGGGGUUCUUAAGUACUCUUUAUCACCGUAUCAGUACAGUUCAGAACACAACUUUGAUGAAAUGGAAUUUGAGUGUAUGAAAAACAGGGCCUAGUUAUUUUGUCUUUUUGAUAGGAAGGCAUAAUGGCCCUACUUUCCACAAAGGCAAGAGUAAGGUCCUCGUAUAUCAUAUAUUUUAUCCUCACGUUAGAUUACAUUAGAUAUGAUAAUUGCCCUACGAUUGUUUGUUCUCUUUUGAGCUGGCUAGUCUUUAGGACUGUGGCCUUCUGGCUGAAAAAUAUCUCAUUUGACUUUAUAGACAGACAACUAUACCCUGCAGUUGCUCCGUUAGGGGAAAAAAAGUUGACGAAAUCAUCGACUCCUUGAGAUAUUGGAACCGGCAACUUAUAUACAAGGAUUAUAGACGACGAUAAAUUCACACAUGGUAGCAGACAAUAUUAAAGAAAGUGAAUAUCUUAUUAAGCAUGCAAGCAAUCAAACAGUUCUAGAGAGUUUCUUUGUGAAUAUUGGGUAUACUUGGAGACGAUAAUAAAAGCUAGUUCGUACACCCUGUGCUCCCUUUUUGGUCAUGUGAGACUAUAAUUUAUAAACAUAAUGUGUGGUUCUUUGAUAUAAAAAAAUGCAGUGUAUAUUAGUACCAUUAUUUUAUUUUUUGAAAUUGGGGUAGGGGAUUACAAAAUGGGAAUGUAUCCUCUUCACCAAUAAGGUGAAAAUGUAGAUAGUCACCCAAUUGAGCCAACUAAAAUUACAAAAUAGUUAAUAUAAGUACUAAUUUUAUAACUCUGUAAGAUUUAUUUCUCCAAGGUAAACUAAUCUAUUACCAAACAUGUUCAAGAUUCGGUAACAUUUUACAUUAAUUACGAAAACAUAGUACGAAAUCUUUCUUUGAAAAAAAGAGGGAGUGUUUUAUUUGAAUAAAUUAUAACACUAUAUGAUGCAUAUUAUAUGUUGAGAUGGCCGAGUUGGUCUAAGGCGCCAGAUUAAGGUUCUGGUCCGAAAGGGCGUGGGUUCAAAUCCCACUCUCAACAAAAUUAUUUUUUAUAAUUAUAUAAGUACUACAUAUCAUAUUUAAGCUUUAAAAUUGAUGUGAUGGAGAUAAAUGAUUGAUUAGUUCCCUUUGAUUCAUCAUUUGAAGUGAUACCUUCCAUUCAAUUUUAACUAAUUACUCCCUCCGUUUAAAAAAGAUUGGUCUGGUUUGACUUGGCACGAAGUUUAAGAAAUUAAAGAAGACUUUUAAAUCUUGUGGUCCUAAAUUAAAGUUAUGUCAAAUGUACAAAAUUGUCCUUAAUCUUGUGGUCUUAAACAUGCCACGUGGAAAGCAAAAAGUAAAAUGUUACCAAAAAAGUAAAGAGGUCAUUUUUUUGAAACUGACUAAAAAGGAAAGGAGGUCAUUCUUUGUAAAACGGAGGGAGUAUAUAAGUACUACAUAUCAAAAAAAUUUAUUAUGGAUGAGGCACAAUUAGUACUAGUUGUAUGAGGAUAUUGUUUAUUGAUUUAUAUUCUGACUUAUGGGACUCACAUUAUAUUUUUCUUCUUUGCCUUUUAUUUCUCUUUCCUCUCUUUUCUCAUUUUUAUGUUUUUUCUAAAUCUUUUUUAAACCAAUAUAAUUACUCCCUUAGUUUGUAUAUAUGAAAAUAAUUUAUUUUUAAAAAAAUCUUAUUUUUAUUUAAAUAAUUAAAGGUUAAGAGUAUAAAAAAGUUCAAGUUAAUUCUUUGAAUUGUCACUUAUGUCAUGAAAAUUGACCAUUAAAAUUAUUAUUUUUUCUCUCACUUUUCAUUUAUCAUACUUUAAAAAAUUUAUCUUAAUAGUAUUUCAUAUUUUUUUAACUUCUACUUUUAGGACUCAUUCAAACAUAAGAAUUAUUUCUUAAAAAAUAAUAUUUUUUCACUUAAUUUGAAAAUUGAUGUUUGAUAAUGAAAUUUUGAAUACAACUUUUUCAACUCGAAUAUAUAUUUCAAAUUUGAAAAACAUGUUAGUAUAAUCUAAUUUUUCAACUCACUUUUCAUUUUUAAAAUUGUAUUUAAGUACAUUCAAACAUGAAUAUCAUUUCGGAUAUUUUAUUUUGCAAAAAUAAAACAUGACUCUAUGUUCAACUAUAAUUUCGUUUAUUUCAAAUACAGUAAAAAAUAUAUGUUUGAAUUCUAGAGCCAAAUGCCAAAUAAUAAUAAUCAUGUUUUCUAUGCUCAUAACCCCUUAAUUUUUAAUGUGCAAUUUUAAUAACAAUUGUUUCACUAUUUUUUUUAUAAGUUUUAUAUAGAGCUUUAAUUGUAUUUGUGUUAAAGAUUCAUUUUACUAAACUAGUCUUAUUAAUUAUAUUUUAAAUUUGACUAUUGAUACCUAUGUAGUUAUUUGAUGAUAAAUAUGAUAAUUUUUAAAAAUGUUUUUUGUUAAAAUAAAUAAGUAAAAAAUAAAUUAUUUUUUCAUAUACACCAGUAAUUAAAUUAAUUUCAAAAUAGAUUUAGGAAAAAAACCGAAAAUAAGAAAAGGAAAGAGUAGGGCAUGAAAGAGAAAUCAAAGGCAAAGAAGAAAAAUAGAACACGAAUUCCUAGGUUAGAAUAUAAACUAAUAAAAUAAUAUCCUCAUACAAGUUUUACUAGUUGCACCUCAUACAUUUUAAAAAAUAUCCUACAUAUCAUAUUUAAGCUUUAAAAUUGAUGUGAUGGAGAUAAAUGAUUGAUUAGUUCCCUUUGAUUCAUCAUUUGAAGUGAUACCUUCCAUUUAUUGGGAUGAAGAAAUGCAUUAGUGUGUUUAUUACCCCUUCCAUGGCCACAUAUUUUUUUUUUUUGUCUAUCUUGAAGGUUCAACACUUCAAUUGAACUUGUUUUCGGAACAAAAUGGGACAUCAACUAAUUCACCUUUUAAAAAUUAGAUAAAUUUGCAACAUUUUUAUUUCUUAGGAAAAUGUCAAGUACUUACUAAUCAUAUAAUUAUCGUCAAAUUCGUGUAAGGUAAGAAGUAAGAACAUACUUCUUCUAUUUCAAAAUACGUGAUUUUUUAUUAUUAUUUCUUAAUUUCAAAAUUAGUGUUAUUUCAUGUAAUCAAAAAGAUAUUAUUAAUAUUCUUUCGAUUUUUUCCUUAUUUAAAUAAAAAGGUUUUACAUAAACAAAAGUUAUUAAAGAGCUACAUUUUAAAAAAAUAUUUAUUAAGAAUAAAUUAGUAAAAACAUAUUUUACUUUCUAAAAAAUUAAUAGUUUUUUUAAAGAAAUGUGUGUACGCUCUAAACACACUAUUUAUUUUUUUAAAAUGGAAAAUAGUAUUUGGUAGAAUCCGAUAAGAGAAACAUAGUUUUUCAAAAAAAAAAGGGGAAACAUAGUUUUGAAGUUGACAUUUAACGCAACGUAGAAAUGAAUAAUUCACAAAGACUAUACCAUUUUAAAAAUCUUGCUUUCAUUUAAGUUCUAAUUCAUAAAACACCUAAACAAAAUUUGGAAACGAGGUAGUGCUCCCUCCUUUCCUUUUUAGUUGUCAUGUUACGUUGUUUGAGAGCCAAUUUAAUUCAUUUUUAAAACUAAAAUCAGAUUACAUUAAUUCGAUAUUUUAAAAUAAAAUUUUAGAUAUUCAAAAAUUAUACAAAAAUACUACUUAAUUACAACAUUUUUCAUAUCAAUAUGAUGAAAAAAUAUUUUUUAAAAUAUUAGUCAAAAUUCAUAUUGUUCGACUUUCAAAAAUGAAAGCUACUAUAACUAAAAAGGGACGCAGGGAGUAUUAAUUUUCUUUUUAUCCCUCCUAAGAAAAGAAUGGGGUGAAAACAUAAAAAUGCUGAAAUAGAGACCCUAUUUUUCUAAAAUUAGGGAAAUAUGCGAUGUUUCGAGAAGGUAGAAGAAAGCUGAGGAGAUUGAUCGAGAAAACCGUAGCAAUCACCAUUUGAGAGUUUUAUCUAAAACUUUCACGAUUCCUCCACACUCUUCUCACUUCUCUCUAUAAAUACCUCCUUCUAUUGCACUACUGAAGCAACGAAAAUCAUUCACAAAGAAGAAGAUAUCCACUUCCUGUGAUCGAGCUUUUCUUUCUAGUUUGUUUUAUUUUUCUAAUAAAUAGGAGUAAUAAUGGCUUGCACAAUUCUUGCAUCUUCUCCAUUAGCGUCCAAUGUCAGUGUUGGUGGAACCUCUAGGAUUAACAAAAAUGUAGCUGCACCUUGCUCUGUUUUCAUUCCUUCCAUGCGAAGGCGGACGACUAGGCUGGUAGCUCAGGCCACCGGAGAUAACAAAGAUACAUCAGUCGAUGUACACCACAGCAGCGCUCAAGGAGGAAACAACCAAGGCACUGCUGUCGAACGCCGUCCUACAAGGAUGGCUUUUGAUGUUUCCCCUUUUGGUGAGUCUCAUUGCUCCUUCCAUUUCAUUUCUGCUGCUUUCUUCAUUUAUCUCAAUUUAUAUGACACAAUUCAAAUUUCAAACUAAAUAAAUAGGCCAUCCAAGGCUACUAUACUGGUAGUAGCAGCAUUUAAUUAAUUUGUUCAAUUCGUUUAGUAAUGACAAUUGUUUCAUGUGACAAACAGGAGUGUUAGAUCCAAUGUCGCCGAUGAGAACAAUGAGGCAGAUGAUAGACACUAUGGACAGAUUAUUCGAGGAUACAAUGACAUUUCCAGGAAGAAACAGAGCAUCAGGAGCAGGGGAAAUACGCACUCCUUGGGACAUUCAUGAUGAUGAAAACGAAAUCAAGAUGCGUUUCGACAUGCCGGGGCUGUCCAAGGAAGAUGUAAAAGUAUCGGUAGAAAAUGACGUGCUUGUUAUUAAAGGCGAACACAAAAAGGAAGAAGGCGGAAAAGAUGAACACUCAUGGGGUAGGAAUUAUAGCUCUUAUGACACUCGUUUAAGUCUCCCGGAUAAUGUUGAGAAGGAUAAAAUCAAAGCGGAAUUGAAGAAUGGAGUUCUUUUCAUCUCGAUUCCUAAAACUAAAGUUGAGAAGGUGGUUGAUGUCCAAAUCAACUAAAAUUAACAACUCCCAAGCUUUUCUUGUUUUAGGUUCUUUUGUAACCUUGUGUAAAAUGUAUGUUGGAAUAUAAAUAUUAAAACAAGUAGUGCGUCUUUAACAAGGCUGCUGUGAGACUUGUUUUCUGGCAAAUUACAAUUUACAACCAUCAAGACAUAAAAAUAAUGACAACACAUUUGGGCAAGUAAGAAAUUAAUACGCUGAAUAAUCAUCCUGCUAUAUAGAACAAAGAAACUUGCUCAGAAAUCACCGUUAGCAGUAUUAGUACUCGAGGCAUUCAUUGCCUAUAGAGACAUAAUAGCUAGCAUACCAAACUUAAAUUACAUCAACAUAAGCACUCACAAACCAGCCAACAGUACAAGCUUAACAACGAGUAUCCAGAAGGUGAGAGAUGCCCAGCUGAGUAACGCUAAUAAACCAAAAGACAAACGCCAUGAGGUACUCGAUGGUAUCUGUAUCUACGUAUAUAUUUAAAUAUAAGAUCAGAUGGUGAAUGCAAAGUGAUAUAUUACUGCACCACCGAGCGGGGAGUACGUGGUCGGACAGGAGUCUUUGAUGGGCUUACUCUGCAGAAUGGAAGAAGUUUCAAGAUUAAUGGAAAUGUCAGUAAAUUAGAGUUCAAGUAUCAGCAGGAAGUCUACUGGAAUCAGAGAGCAACCUUAUAGGGAGUGAUCCCAGGAUUGCACCACUGCAGUUCAGUGCAGCAAUGGCACUCUCGGCCUGCAACAAUCGGAAAAUUCAUCAUGAAACUAUACUAAAGAGCAUAGCCGUGAAAUGCUUCACUUUAAGGAAAAGGGAACAAACAUAAUAAGCGAUUCUAGGUAUCAAUUAUUGACAUCAUAACAUGCAAGACCAAUGCAAACUAAUCUUGAGUAAGAAGCAGAGUGAGAUAAAUUCACAUCAUGUAUGUUCCCUCGAUGUAAGCAAGGGCCUAGAAAUAGAUCUUCCAAAGACAACAAAGAAUAAGCAAGAAUGAGGUCUUUAACACCAACAAAGUUUGUCAUUGUCACAUCAAGAAGUAACCUAGAAACAAAUUGCACCUAAGCUAAUCACAAGAAGAAGGCGGUGGGAUUCUCCUAUCCAAAGAUAGGAAGUGUGACACUAGAGAAAUCUCCUACUCCCUCUGUUCAAACUUAUGUGCCAUAGUUGAAUCGACACGAUUUAAGAAACAAAUGAACUUUUGAAACUUGUGGCCUUAAAUAUGUUAUAGCCUUUGUGUGGCUGUAAAACUUUGAUACUUGGGGAUUUAUACAUGCCGUAACAUUUGUAGUAAUCAAAGCUUCUCAUUAAGUGUAAAAUAGAAAGUGUGAACUUAAUAAUUUCGAAAUUUAGGAGUGUCAUCAUUUUGAAACUAACUAAAAAGGAAAGUGUGUCGCAUCACUGGAAUGAGAGGGGGGGCGUAUUUGACUUUUACACCCGCAACCUAGAGAGUGUGGUAAAGAAGUUCAAAUCGAGAACCUCCACCAAAGAAACUAAUAGAACCUCUUUUAUAGUUCCCUAUAUCCACUCUCAACGAAUGCCGCGGAUGAAGAAACAGCAUGCUAGAUGAAAACAACUGAGGAACAGAAAAAUCAUCAGAUAUGUCUAUUGAAGAUCUUUGUUAUGGAAAGCAGACUUCACGACUUCUCAGGUUCUAAAAUAAUACUCCAUCCCAGUUCCAAUUUAUAUGGCACCUUUCGGAUUUCGAAAGUCAAUUGAGUUUUUCUUUGAUCAGGAAUAUUUUCAUAUGCAUUGCAAAUAUUUUGAAUUAUCUAUUUCGUUUAAAGAUUAUUUUAAAGAUUUCAUGUCCGAAUUCAGGGUCAAAAUUUGGAAGUCUGACUCUCGAAAUCCAAAUGGUGCCUCAUAAUUUCAGACAGAGGGAGUAAUACUUCUCUCCAGUGUGAAGAUUGCUUGGAUUAGUAAAGCUGAUCUACUUAAUACAAUAGUAUCUCACAGAGGAGUACCAAGUAUACAGCACUUCCCUUUCAACUUCAUUAAAGUGAUCAAUACAUACAGAAUCCACAUAGUAAAGGUUGCAAUGAUUCCCAUAAAAGCAACAGUUUUAAAUGUGCAUUAUAUCCAUGAUCCCCAAGCAAAGCAACAGCUCAGAAGCUCGUCAUUGAGAGAUGCAAAACUUCUCAAGAUGGACAGCAACAAGAACACCGACAUUGCAAUUUUAUUUACCCCGCAUUACUGUGAAUUCUUAAUAAGAUAUCCACUGGCAUGUACUCAUUAGCUACCAAAUAUAACACAAGCCUAUUGAACUAAUCAAAACAACAAUACAGGCCACUUAUUUUUCCUGUUGUCAAGGAAACAUUAUAUAAGUGAUUAAUAUUGCUUAGUAUCGUUGAAUUUCUUCUAUAAGUAGUCCAGUUUCAAUUUUUAGAACAAGUAUCCAGUUUAUCCAAAUUUGGUUAUUCUGAAACCUUUUAUAUGUUUCCCGUCUAACAAAAACAUAGAAAGACAAAAAGACCCCAUACUGAUCCUUGUUAAGGAAAUAAGAGUGCUUUGCUCACAGAUUAGUUGUGCAGAAUUAAUCUAGGGUGAAUAUGGGGUCUUCUUGUCUGCGAGUGUUCUUUGUCCCAGCAAAGACUAAAAACACAGAUGGGAAGAAAUCACCUAGUUUCUUUUGUCACUGCUGGGAUAUGAACCUUUGAGACCUCAUAGUUCUAAGCCGACUUCCUUGACCACCAGGCCACAUCCAUCCAUGGGUGCUAUACUUUGUAACUAGUAUUUAUGCGGAUUUUUAUAUUGGGACUGGUUUUUGUGCGACUGACAUGAGGAACCCUCUCCUUCCAGCAAUAACUCAAUCUACACAACUAAAUACCUCGAACAUUAAUACUCCCUAUAUCCCAAUUUAUAUGACUUACUUUCCUUUUUAGUCCGUCCCAAAAAGAAUGACACAUUUCUAUAUUAAGUAACAAUUUAACUUUAAAAUGUCCAUUUUACUCUUAAUGAAAUGAUUUAUAGCCACACAAAUUUAUAUCAUUCAUUUUAGACCACAAGUUUUAAAAGUCUUACUUUCUUUCUUAAACUUCGUGCCGAGUCAAAGUACCUCACAUAAAAUGGGACGGAGGGAGUAAUAUGUUUUGUGCAUGAGGGGAGGAGGGAUGGGUGUAAUUCUCAAAUAAUGCUAAGUAUAGGAUAAGGCCCAUACAACGGCCAAGACCCCAAUCCUAGGUAUCAUCCAACAAGUUUGAGGGGUGGGGGGGGUUAAUUAUCCAAUCAUGGUUAUUGUAGUAUCUAAAAUCCAAAAAUCUUAGUUCAGAUAACUAGAGUCUGUCCAAGUUUGCCUUCUAAAACAAUUAAACGAAGCAACUGUAGCGCUUUGUAUUUUGUUCUGCCCAGCAGUUACCAGAAAAUAGCACAAGAGAGAAUAGAAAAUGAUGUUAUCGACUCACUUUCCUUUUUAGUCAGUCCCAAAAAGAAUGACACAUUUCUAUAUUAAGUAACAAUUUAACUUUAAAAUGUCCAUUUUACUCUUAAUGAAAUGAUUUAUAGCCACACAAAUUUAUAUCAUUCAUUUUAGACCACAAGUUUUAAAAGUCUUACUUUCUUUCUUAAACUUCGUGCCGAGUCAAAGUACCUCACAUAAAAUGGGACGGAGGGAGUAUUGAACAACAAGUGGGUACCAUAUCUUAUAGUUGUCGUCCACUCUACUACUCUAACAAUGAAGCAUCCAAUAACAAGCACAAACAUUAGCUAUACUGAGUAAUAAACACAAGCACAUAAUAUCGACAACUAGAACUGAUCUACAAAUGACGGACCUUUCUCACAAGUAAGGUUUAUUACCCGACAAAAAGUAAUGAUCACAUGGCUCGUGUUAUCUAGUUAAAAAGAUUUGGAUUAGUUUCUGGUCACAAAGACAUCAACAUAAGCUUAGACAGGCACACCAGUAAACAAGGGAGAAAAACUUUGAACCGAAAUUCAGUGUAUGUCAACAAUAUCUCAAAUUCACAUGAGUGGCAAACUAUUACCAAGAACUUGCUUCACCUACAUAAAAUACAAAAAAGGGACAAAACAAAUCACUUUAUACUUUGAAAAUGUAGAAGACCCAAACAAGUAAUAACAUCAUAAUGAUGUUAAACUAAUAGCAUGGAUGGUAAAAUAACACACACUCUGAAUGGAGUUUCUAGUAGUUCUUAAGAGUAGAAAGAAGCCAAAGUCCAGAGCAGUAUGAUAUAUCAGACAACAAAACCAAGAAAAGCUUAUGGAAGUUACCAUAACAAACUCGACAAAACCUAUGCGAGUAGAAUGAUGAUAGUCACCAAGCAACCUCAAGCGCUUAACCUGGAUUAAAGAAGAAAACCGCAUAGAGUAAGGACCUAAAGUAGGACAGGAACUUUCAGACAAGUCAGGUGAAAAGCUACAAACCUCUCCACAGAAGUACUCAAAAAAGAGCUUGACAUCUGCCUGAGUAACCUAUGUCAUACAAUUGAACAAGUCAUAAAGCAUUAUCUCCAUAGAUACUCUUCAACCAAGUAAAACAGGAAUUACAAACCCAAAAUUACCUUUUUAUCAAUGUUUGUACAGUAUAUAGUUCUUGCACACAUCUCCCUUUCAUCUUCAGACUACAUAUCAGUGCCAAAGGUAAAGAUUUCAGAAUUAGCAACAGAGAGGUAUCCAUUCAUCACCCUCAACAGCGAUUUCUGAAAGGAAGUACGGAAAGUAUACACAAUUUCUCACCCUUGGAAGAAAAGUUGGAUUAACUGGUGCAAUUGCAGUUUUGGAGGGAAGCACUUUCACAGGGUAGUAUCCUAGCAUAGUUCCUGCAAGACUCAGAGAACUCCUUGCACCUUCUGCAAACCAUACAUGGGACAAUGUCAGUGUUAGACAACAACAACUUUAACCCAAAAUAAAAAUUGUCAAACAAAAGAUUGUGGUUCAACUUACCUUCAUCAGUAAACUCAAUAAAUGCAAAACGGAGUACAGAAUUGGGAUCUCCACAUAUGCGACAGUCAACCACCUUCAUCACAUUAAGGUUAGUCCGAUUAUGGCAACAAAACAUUUCACGAACAUAUUAUAAAGUGCUAUAAAUUAUGGUUGAAUGCAGAGAAAUGACCGAACGGGAAACAUUUUCACCUGCCCACAGGUAAGAAAGAGUGUAGCAAGUUGCUCUUCAGUCACCUACACAAAAUAAGAACAAUAAGUCCCACGGUAAAAAGAUGAAGGUGACAUAACCCAAUAAAUAAUGAACAAGUACCCGGUGACUGAGUAACCUCUUUUCAGUACCUGAUGAUCAAUGUCAGACACAUAAACUGUCCUCCUAAUAACCUCUUCACGUUGGGCCAUGCUUGUCCGGACAUUCAUCCUUCUCCUACCAAGACCAUAGCCAUUUCUCUUCUGCCAGUGCAUUCAACCGAAUUGUUAGCCACGACUCCAUGACAAUGAUUCAUUACAAACCAGGUUACAAAAAGUGUCGGACAAAAAAUAAACUUGACCUUUUAAAACAACAGCGACAGAAAGAAACAUUGAACAUCCUCCUUUUUUUUAAAAUGAAUUAAGUAGUAUUUUAAAUGGCAUCAAGAAGAUGCAUAUGGCAAAAUAGUUACUAAAGAGUGAAAAUGUUAGCUCUGUUACAAUAUAUGUUCUUGCAUAAUACCAACUAUGAAAUUUCCUACUGUCGGUAAUCAAUUAGAUUUAACAUACAUAAGGCAACCAAAAGAAGAACAAACAUAAAACUGGAGAACCUAACAUUUACAUAAGCACCGUUUUCCAGUAGCCACUAAAUGAAAAACAUGACAAAUUAGGAAACAGAAAAGUGCUGAGAUAGAUACCCUUCUGUUGAAAGUUCCAUCGCCGAGUCCAGUUUGCAUUGCAUAAUUGAAAGGAUCAAACCCAAAUUGUUCUCCACCGGGAGAGAUUGGCACAACUGCGUAGUUGCUGGAGAGUGAGGGAGGCACAAACUCUUCAGCCAUGGGGUUCAAUUUGGAAAGCAUUUCCUCCAAAUCCUUCAUCUCUCUGUUAAACCCUUCCCCACCAUGAACCUCAUCACCCACACCUCCAUUUCUUCUCAAAUCAACACCGUUCAUUUUCUGAUGCUGAUGUUGAAAAUUAUGGUGACCCAUCACUCCAUUACCGUUGAUGCUUUGUUUCUGCUGUUGAAAAACACUCAUUUGCGCCUUAUGCUGCACACUUGUUUUCUGGGGUUGCUGCUGUUGUAGAUGAUUAACAGACAUCAUCAUCUGAAUAUUCUGAUCAUUAGGUAUCGUUGACCGUGUCUCACCGUUCUGAUUUGACUGAUGAUCGACGGCACCGGAAUCAUUCUUUACAACACUAUCAUCCGUCCGAUUCAACGAACCAUUCUCAUCCACGGCCAUGAUUGUUCCUUCAGCAACAACUAUGUAUCACAGUACCCAAGACUGCUCCUCUUUCUCCUUCUUUAACCCUUUUUCCCAAAUUCGGGUUCUGUCAAAAAGCAAACCAAACCAAACAAAAAAAAGAUCGGUUCUGUCAUUUCCCAAUUUAUCAAUCUGUGGUUUUAACAUCACAGUUUCCACAAUAAGCCAAUAAAAAUUUUCACAAAAAAAAAAGAAAAGGAAAUCGAUAAUUGUACCUGCUGGUCUAAGCGGUGGACUCCAUUAAUCAAAGAAGAACAAAAAAAUUAUUUUACUUUGUAGUGAUGACGCGAGAGAGAGACGAAGAAUUUAAGCUCAUAGAGAAAACAGACGAGCUUCUUCGGAUGGUCCGUUUCGCCACGCCUAUGUUUUUUUUUUUUGUUUUUUUGGACUUUAUUACAGUAGAUAAGGACAAACAUAAUACUUCAUCUUUUUUAUCUUUAACGUGAUAAUAAUCUUAAUUAAUGUUAUAAUUCCUAAAAAUAUUUUAGAUCUUGUGUUUUAAUGACGUUAUCUUUUCGUUCAUUUUUAGUUGUCAUAGUUUUCCUUUUUUUAAAAUCAAUCGAUAUAAAUUUAACUAAUAUUAUAAGAUGUUUUUUUUCAUUAUAUUGAUACAAAAAAAAGUUGCAAUUUAUAGUAUGUUUCAUAUAGUUUUUGAAAAUCUAAAUUUUAUUUUAAAAUAUCAAAUUAAUAUAAUUUAAUUUAGUUUUAAAAUGAAGUCAAAUUAAAUCUCGAAAAACGUAACAUGACAACUAAAAAGAAACGAAAUGAGUAUAUAAAAUGUUGAACACAUGAAUUGAAAUAGGUAAAGUGUGAAAGAACCUUACCUAGUUUACAAAGUUCAUAAAUCAUAGGGCAAAUGAUCUGAAAAAUACUCCAAUUUUGGCUGAAUUUGCUGUUACGACAUCAAACUUUAUGGAAGACUUUUUACCCCUGCACUAUUUAAUAGUGUAUUUAAAAGAUAUAUAUGUGCCCACGUAGACACAUUACUAUUUAUAAUAAUGCAAUAUUUAUGAUGUCCACGUGGGCAUAUAUAUACUUUUAAAAUACACUAUUAAAUAGUGCAGGGAGGUAAAAUGUCUUUUCCAAAGUUCGGUAUUGUUACAACAAUUUCGGUCAAAGUUUAAAUAUAUUUCAGACUUUUUUCCCUAUAUCAUACUCCUAUUACUCCAUCCAUCUCAAUUUUUGUCAUUAUUGACUUAACAAAAAAAAUUAAAAGAAAUACUUUUAAAAUUAAUGAUCUAAGAAAUAUUUUAGAUAUUUUUAUAACUACAAAUCAUAGUUAGGAUUAAAAGAUGAAUUUUAAAAUUAAAUUAUUUUUAUUUAAGGAAAGGUGACAUCUAAGUAAUUAGAUCUUUUUUCAUGGCUUACACAUGAUAUAUCACUUGUCAUCAUCAUUUUAAAGUCGUAUUACACUUCAAUGAUAAAAUAUGUAUAUGUAAUUUGCAAGGUUUUUCCAAUUUCCAUACGUACAUAAACGAGGUAUCAUACAUUUAGCAUUAAUUUAUUCUUACGCAACAAUGUGAGUUUUCCAUUUACAUCUAAAAACCAAUUGGACAAUUUUUUUUAAAAUAUCGAUAAUUUAGUACAGAUUUACUACUACAAUUUUUUCAUGAUACAUGUCACAAUUGCUAAAAUAAUUUGAACUAGAGAGAGAAUAUUUUUCACAUUAAUCCCCUUAAACUUUAGAGAUUGAGAUAUAUAUAACUUUUUGGGGGAUAAGUUUUCCUUUUAACUAUUUGCACAGUUUAGGAAAAUUUACUAUUCUAAUAUAAUAGUUUUUUGAAAACAUAUUGCCUACUAGUUUUAUAGUUUUUAUAAAUUGAGUUUCAGAAAUUUUGGCAUUUCCAUAUAAAUGUAUGUGCAUUUGCAUAUUUAACUACUAUAUACAAAAACCCGGCCAAGCCAGGUUCAAUACAUAUAUUACUUUAUUUGUUUAAAUUUAUGUGACACAUAUAGAAUUAAGAAAAUCAACUAAAGUUUUAAAUAUUUUUAGUUGUUAAUUAUUGCUAUAGUAUUUUUAACGCACUUUUCAAAAAAAAUAAUCUAUGGCACAUGUGAUAAUUUAAGGGUUGAUCAAUUUAUAAUAUGUUUGUUUAAAUAUUUUAAGUUGUUAAUUAUUGUGAUAUAUGUGGCACAUUUAAAAGUUUGGGAGUUAAGUUGUUAAUUAUUGUGAUUUAUGGUACUCUUAGUUAACAUAAUUUUCAAAUAAUAUAUGUUACCCUCCAUGUCUCAAUUUAUGUGGUAUAAGUGAAAUUUCGAAAGUUAAUCAAAUUUUUAAUAUAUUUUAAGUUGUUAAUUAUUGUGAUCUAUAGUAUUUUAAAGCUAAUUUUCAAAUAAUGUAUGCUACUCCCUGUCCCUAUUUUACUAUAUAAUAUAGGCAUAGGUGAAAUUUUGAGAGUUAAUCAAAUUAUUUAUACGUGUUUUUAAAUAUUUCAAGUUGUUGAUUGUUGUAAUUUAUAAUAUUACUUUUUUCAUAAUUUUCAAAUACAUGAUAUACUAAAAUGAAAAAUAAACGAAGAAAUACUAAAUAUUAUAAUAUAUAGUACUAUUUUUUCGUAAUUUUUAACACAUAAUAUAUUAAAAGAAUUAUUUUUAAAAAAAAAAUGCUAAAUACAAAAUAUAAGGAAAUUUAAGGAGAAAGGCAAAUCGGUCAAAUGAUCGCUCUUCAACAUUCCCUCUUCUAAUAUAAGUAAAUAAAAGUUCCUCUCUUUGUAAUUCCAAAACUUGAUCCUACUAAGAUAAGUAAUAGAAGUUAUUCUCUUAGUAAAUUUUGAAACUUGAUCCUAAGCUCCUCUCCUAUUCACUCAGAAAUUUUGGCAAUCCCAUAUAAAUGUUUGUGUUUGCAUAUUUAACUACGCUCUAGACUAUGCAUUAUCUCUGUAGUUGUUAUACAUGUUUACUAAAGUGAGUAUUUUCGAUACAAAUUUUGUCACUACUUUAUUAGGGAUGACCGAUGAUACGAAGUAUGCACUAAUACUAUGAGCUGCUUGGACUAGUAAUGUUGAUUUUCGCAAUGAAUGGAGCAGUACAAAAUGCAGCAGACUUAGAAUUUAUGAAUUAUGAUGACAAAUUCUGCAAAUAUGGAAGUGAACUGAAGGGACCAAAAGAAGAAAGUAGGUCCGGAAUCAGACGUUAACUAAAGGAAUUUACGUCUUCUUUUUCUUUUUUACAAUAUAUUUUAGACUACGGUAUAGCCUUCUUAUUUAACAAAGCUAGUCUUUUCUUACUUCUCUUGAAAGGCCACAUUCAGGCCAACAAACAAGUUAAUACGCUGAAUAAUCAUCCUGUUAUGUGGAACGACGAGGAGGAGAUGAAUCGUGUAAACUCAGACACCACCAUAAACGCCAUUUUUAAAGUACAGCUUGCUCAGAGAAGAAAGGAAGAGCAAAACACGAGAACACAAACCAAUGUGAUAGCCGAAUAUCAAGGAACUCAUUGGAUCAAUGUCACAGUUAGAACAUCAGUCAGUAAUGGUACUCGAGGCAUUGCCUAGAGGAUCAUAAAUAUACCAAACUUAAACUACAUCAACAUACGAAUUCAUAAACCAGACAGCCAACAGUGCAAGCUUAAGAACAAGGUCAGAGAUGCCCGGCUGAGUAAUGCAAAUAAACUAAAAGACAAAUGCCACGAGGUAUCUGUAUCUACGUAUGUAUUUAUAUAUAAUAAGAUCAGAGGAGGAGCGCAAAGUGAUAUAUCACUGCACAGGGGAGCGAGGAGGAGCACGUGGUCGAACAGGAGUCUUUGAUGGGCUUACUCUGCAGUAUGGAAAUAGUUAAAGAUUAAAGGAAUGUCCGUAAAAUAGAAGAAGCAUCAGCAUGAAGUCUACUGGAAUCAGAGAGAAACCUUAUAGGAAGAGAUCCCAGGAUUGCACCACUGCAGUUCAGUGCAGCAAUGGCACUCUCAGCCUGCAACAAUCAGAAAAUUCAUCAUGAAACUAUACUAAACAAGCAAUAGCCUUCAAUGCCACGUGCUAAAUUUCCUUUGAGGGAAAGGUAAACAAACAAAAUAAGCAGUACAAUGGAGGAAUUUAAACUUUUAUACUUCAAAUUUCAUCAAGUAUAUGACAUUACAUCAUGAGGAGUCCACAGAUUUUUGGUAACGAUCCAAUGACAUCAUAACAUGGAAAACUAAUGCAAACUAAUCUCGAGUAAAAAGCAAAGUGAGAUAAAUUGACCAUGUAUGUCCCAUUAAAGCAAGGCAACAGAGCCUAGAAAUAAGUCCUCCAAAGACGACAAAGAAUAGGUCAAGACAAAGAUUAAGUAUAACAUCGACAAAGUUUGUCAUUGCCACGGCCAAAAUUGUCCACCUUGAAACAAAUUGCACUUACAGCUAAUCCAAGGAGGAGGCAAACAGAAGUGUGUCAUUCUUCUACCCAAAAACAGAAAGUGUGACACUAUAGAAAUCUCCUGUUUGACUUAAAGCACCUCAGAAUAUAAAUUCUGGAGGUGUUAAAGCAACAGAAAACAGCCUUGCAAUGCAUCAAGGAGAACUAGAUGCAGAUUGCAACCGCAACCUAGAGAUAGUGUUGUAAGGAAGUUCAAUUCUAGAACCUCCACACCAAAGAGACUAAUAGAAGCUUUAUAUGGUUCCCUAUAUCCACUCUCAAUGAAUACGGUGGAUGAGGAGAUAGCAUGCAGGUCAAGGGCAACUUUAGAACAGAAAAAUAAUCAUAUAGCUUGAUGCAUGUAUGCUAGAGAUACUUUGUCAUGGGAACCAGAUAUCACGACAUUUCAGGUACUAAAGUAGUAGUACUUUCUCCUGUGUGAAGAGUGUUUGGACAGUAAAGCUGAUCUACUUAAAACAAUAGUAUCUCACAGAGUAGUACCAAGUAUAGAGCACUUCUUUUCCAGUUUCAUUUAAAUGAUCAAGAAGCACAGAAUCCACAUAAUAAAGCUGUAAGGGCACCCAUCAAAGCAACAUCCAGAAACAUAUUUAGUACAUGAAACAGCAACUCAAAAGUUGGUCACUGAGAGAUGCAGAACAGACCGAGCUGGGCAGCCGUAAAAACACCAAGAUUGCUAUUUUAUUUACCCCACAUUACUAUGAAUUGCUAAUAAUCUACUGGCAGAAACUCAUUAGCUGUCAAAUACACCACGUGCCUGUAGAACUAGUCAAAACGACAACACAGGCAACUUCUGUUUUCCUGCUGUCUAGGAACCAUUUCAUAUAUGAUUAAUUUUGCUUAGUGUCGUCGGGUUUCUUCCAUAAGGUAAUUCAUUUUUUUAUUUUUAAAUGAACAUCCAGUUUAUCCAAAUCUAGUGAUUCUGAGACCUUCCAUAUGUAUCCUGGAUAACUAAAACACUGAAAGACAAAAAUAUCCCAUAUUCAUCCUUGUUAAGGAAUUGAGGGUCCUUUGGUCACACAUUAGUUAUGCAAGAAUUAUAAUACAAGGAUUGUUAUGUGGUGGAUAAUAAUGCAAAGAUUGUAUCUCGUCAAUAAAUUAUUAAAUAAUUAUUAUCCAGUUAAUAUUAAUGAAAAAAUUAUUACUGUAUGGUAAGUGAUUAUAAAUAGGAUUUAUCUUACUUAAGGCAUUUUGUAGAUAUUUUUAUAGAGAUAUUGCAAAUAAAUGCAUUUUUGUUCCACAUGUUGAGCAUAUAAUUAAGUAAAAGUGUUCUCUCUAACAACUUAAGCUUUAAGAUGAGAUGGUCACACACUUCAGCAUGGUAUCAAAGCAGGUAGAGGUAGAGGGAUCGAAUCUCGCUACCACUUGUUAUCAAAAAAGAAUUUCCACAUGCUUGGCCAUGAAAAAAGAACCACACUCACACCUGAAGGGGCGUUUUGAGAAUAUAAUUAAGUAAAUAAAAGUGUGCUCUCUCUCUCUAAAUACUUAAGCUUUGAGAUGAGAGAGUCACACACUUCAACACCACAUUAAAUAUCACAUAAAAUAAUAAUAGAUUCCUAUAGAUAGAGGCGGACCCACAUGCACCCGGUAACUUUUAAAAAAAAAUUGUGUAUAUAUGUAUAGAUAGUUAAUAAAACGAUAAUAUAAUUGAUUGUGCACCCUUGUAACAAAAACUUUCUUGGGCGCACUGACCAAAGUCGCCAUUUCAGACCACGAUCACGCGAGUUCGAAUCCCGCGAAGGCUUAUUAUUAUUUUUUUUAUUUUUUUUUACUUUAAAAUCAGUUUUUUCUUUACAAUUAACCUUUUUAAAAAUUGUUUUUUUAUUAAAACUCAUUUUUGCCACCUCAUUGGCCCCGCCCCCUUUCUUAACCACCUUUUUUGGCCAUCUCAUCUGGCCCAUUCCUUUCUUAAUUGAAAUUAAAAGCAAAUAAAAAUCCUAACACAAUUCUAAACAAAAUAUAAGACUUCUUCUUUACAAGCAUAUUUCUUUUGUAAGAAUUUGUUGUUGAUUCUUGUGAUUUGAAAUGGAUAGAUUUUUGACGAAACAUAAUUCUUCUCAAUCAAGUGCUAGUUUUAGAGACAAUUAUAGAUGAGUUUGAUUUGCAAUCACGUAAACCGGAUCCUGGACAAAUAAUAUCUAUUGAUAAAUAUAGCCCUAGAAUACGAAUACGAGAUGAAGUGAGAAGACACUAUAUUCAACAAGGGCCUUGUCAACCGGAUAUUAAUAAUAAUGAAUAUCCUCAAACUAGAUUUGGAACGAAAAUACGUCGAUUUUGUAAGGCAUGGUUUAAGGGCUGAUGGUUUGAGUUAUUUAUUCAAAAUUCUAAAAUAUUCUUGAUAAAAAAGUUGAUUGUUAUUCUUUUAAUUUUUAAAAAUUUUUUAAUUAUACCUUUCAAUAUUGGUUAAAGUGAAAUAAAAUAAUAAAAUUCACUAUUAAAAUUUAUUGGGGCCUCAAAAUUUUGGAGGCCUAAGCAGGGCGCUUUGCUAACCUUACCCUUAACCAUUCCUAGCCUUACCCUUGAGGCCACUCUUAGUAGUGCCCCCUAUCUUCAAAUCCUGGGUUCGCCCCUGCCUAUAGAAGUUAUGUCAGUAGUAGUAAUGCUGAAUUUAAUACCUAAAUCAAUCAAACAUUCAAUCAAUUAUGAUUUUACACUAGAAACCAAAAUUGAAUUAGUUAUGCAAAGAUUACAUUCGUCACACAGAGUUCUAUUUAUUGUUUACUUUAUAUGCACUAGUUAUGUGAAUUUUUGUAUUGGAGUUGUUUAUUAUGAAACUGACCAAGGGACCCCUCUCCUUCCAGCAACUCAAAUUACACAACUAUAUACCUCAAAGAUUUACCGAACAGUUAAGUGGGUACCAUAUCCAAUAUUUGUCAUCCACUCUACUACUCUAACAACGAAGCAUCCAAUAAAAAGCAUGUGCAUUAGCUAUUGAGAAAUUAACACAAGCACAUGAAUCCACAGUUUCCCCGGACCCCACCUUUGGGAUUACACUGGGUAUGUUGUUGUUACAUUUUUUUGAUGAAGAAAAAAAAAUGUAACAACAACAAUGUACAUUGUAUCCACAGUUUGAGCUGAACUGCAGAUGAGGGACCUUUCUCAUACCACAACAUUUCAAUUAUAGUAAAGAUCACAGGUAGACCCAGGAUUUGAGCUAGAGGUGACACCUAUAUCUUUCGGAAAAAAACAUUGAUACUUUUGGUGGUGGGUUGCGGUCCUGGGUCUGGUAAUAUGAGAUAGAGAGAGAGAAGCUGGGUUUUGAAUUGGAGGAAGAGUUUCUUAGUUUCUUAUCUCUAUCAUGGACAGAGAAGUGAGUUGGGACUUUUACAGGUAGGGAUUAACUCAAUAGAAAAGAAAAAGAAAAGUGGAUUUUUUUUUAAAUCUGGAGCAAUGCAAAGGACUACAAGGGGGGGUAAGAUAUACUUAGCUAACAAAAGCAUAGCAGUGGAAUGUAUACAGUCAGCGCAAAUAAUAAAGAUCUGGACCAUGUAAGAUCCCAAAACAGUCUAUGCAUUGGAAGCGUUUAUAGAAAAUAAAGAUACAAUAUAAAGUAGCUUGCUUUACUUGGUUGUAGCUAGAGAAGCUGUCCUUACUCAGAAAAAUCUAAGGAAGAGGAAAACAUAAAUUUGCUCAAGAUGUUGUUGAUUCACCAACGAUCUGUUUUGUGACCAGCUAACUAUGGGAUUUGCUCAUCAAUCUCAGGGGUAUUAGGUGGGAAUGCCAGGAAGAACUUCGGAACUCUUCUCAAGGUGGAAGGGGGGGGACUUACCACAUACAAAGACAGAUGGAAAAUUGGUCGAACAACCAUUUGGUGGACAAUGUGGAAGGAAAGGAAUUCAAGACUCUUCGAAGAUACAAGUAAGUCCUAUACAAAUGAUAAAGAUGAAUCAUUAUCUCCUUUUUAAUUUUUGGUGUAAAUCAGAAUAUUGAUGAUCUUGAUUCAAUUUUAGAAGUUUUAGAUUCCUUGUAAGAAGAACAAGGACUGCAAUUUUAGAUUAUUGAUGCAACACCCAUAUUUUGGUUUUGUGCUGAGGAUUAUACUUGUAAACGGGAAUAUGUUACCUUCUCAAGAAAAAAAUAGAGAAGCUAACGAAAGGGGGGAACUAAAGAAGGAAAAAUCAACAAAAAACAAUAAUAUGGUUUGCUACAAGAAGCCGUACAACACAGCGAAAAAUCGGGUAGGCUACAGUUAGGAUCGAAAUAGGUCACUGAACCUAAGGACAAAGCUAAGGAGCCCCAUCAAUCAGUGACCCCUUCUAGCAUUUUUGUAUUAGGGUGCCUAGUUAAAUAUAUCGACAUACUUCAAGAUAUAUACAGGAUUUUUUCCGAGGUUAACAGGUGCAUGUGACCCCCCUCCCCAUAGGAUAGGUCUGCCUCUGAAGAUUAUUACCAGAGAUAUUAAUGCUCACAUAGAUCAUGUUAUCUAGUUAAGAAUAUUAGAAUUAGUUUCUGGUGACGAAGAUUGAUAACAACAUAAGCUUAUACUGGCACUCCAACAAGCAAGGGGAGAAAAGCUUCGAAUCAAAUUCAGUUUAUGUCGACUUUAUCUCAAAUUCACACAAGUGGACAAACUACUUCCAAGAACUUAGUUCAUCCACAUGAAAGCCAAAACGGGACAAAACUGAUGUUUUUACGUUUUGAUGUUUUUACACUCUGAAUGUAAAAGACUCAAAUAAGUAAUCACAUCAUAAUAAUGCUAAACUACAAACAAGGAUAGUGAAAGACCACACAUUCUGAAUGGAGGUUCUAUUAGUUCAUAAGAGUAGAAAAAAGCAAAUGUCCAGAACAGUAUGAUAUAUCAGACAGCAAAACCAAGAAAAGCUCAUGGAAGUUACCAUAACAAACUCGACAAAACCUAUACGAGUAGUAUGAUGAUAGUCACCAAGUAACCUCAGGCGCUUAACCUGCAUUAGAGAAGAAAACCGCAUAGAGUAAGUACCUUAACUAGGACAAGCACUUGCAGAAGAGUUAGGUGAGAAGCUACAAACCUCUCCACAAAAGUAUUCAAAAAAGAGCUUGACAUCUGCUUGAGUAACCUAUUUCAUACAAAUGAACAAGUCAUAAAGCAAUAUCUCCAUAGAUGCUCUUCAACCAUGCGAAACAAUGAUUACAAACCCAAAAUUACCUUUUUAUCAAUGUUUGUACAGUAUGUAGUUCUUGCACACAUCUCCCUUUCAUCUUCAGACUACAUAUCCACGCCGAAGGUAAAAAAAAUAAAAUCAGUAUUAGCAACAGAGAGGUAUCCAUUCAUCGCCCUUAACAGCAAUUUUGCAAAAAGGAACAACAACAUUCCUAAUAAAAUCCAACAAGUGGGGUUUGAGGAGGGAAGAGUGUACGCAGACCUUACAAAUAGGAAAUACCAAAAAUAUACACAAAUUCUCACCCUUGGAAGAAAUGUUGGAUUAACUGGUGCAAUUGCAGUUUUAGAAGGAAGCACUCUCACAGGGUAAAACCCUAGCAUAGUUCCUGCAAGACUCAGAGAGGUCCUUGCACCUUCUGCAGACGAUACAUGGAACAAUGUCACCGUUAGAUAACAAGAUCUUUAACCAGAAAUGAAAAAUGUCAAACCAAAGAUUAUGGUUCAAUAUACCUUCAUCAGUAAAUUCAAUAAAGGCGAAACGGAGUACAGAAUUGGGGUCUCCACAUAUGCGACAGUCAACCACCUUCAGCACAUGAAGGAUAAAACAGAUUAUGGCAACAUAAUAUUUCAUAAACAUUUUUAAAAUGCUGUAAAUUAUGAUUUAAUGCGGAAGCACGAUCGAACAGGAAACAUAUUCACCUGCCCACAAGUAAGAAAGAGUGUAGCAAGUUGCUCUUCAGUCACCUACACAAAAUAAGAACAAUAAGUCCCCGAAAAAAGAUGAAGGUGAAAUAAUGAAUAAAUAAUGAACAAGUACCCAGUGCCCUGAAUAUUCCUCUUUUUAGUACCUGUUGAUCAAUUUCAGACACAUAAACUGUCCUCCUUAUAACAUCUUCACGUUGGGCCAUGCUUGUCCGGACAUUUGUCCGUCUCCUACCAAGACCAUAGCCAUUUCUCUUCUGCUAUUGCAUUUCAACCAGAAUUGUUAGCCAGGACUCCAUGACAGUGAUCACAAACAAGGUUACAAAAGGUGAGAGACGAUAAAUUUGUCCUUUUUUUAGACAAUAGGGGCAGAAGGAAACAUCAAUAUUCCCUAUUUUAGACCUCAAUAACUGUAUCCUCCUCAAUAUAUGUUCUUGCAUGAUAUAGUACCAAUUAUGAAAUUUCCUACCUUAAGUUAUGGAUUACAUUUAACAUACAUAAGGCAACUGACUGUCUUCCAGUAGCUACUAAAUAAAAAAAUGAUAAAUUAGGAAAGUGAAAAAGUGCUGAGAUAGAUACCCUUCUGUUGAAAUUUCCAUCGCUGAGUCCAGCUUGCAUUACAAAAUUGAAAGCAUCAAACCCAAAUUGUUCUCCACCAGGAGAGAUUGGCACUACUCCGUGGUUGCUAGAGAGUGAAGGAGGCACAAACUCUUCAGCCAUGGGGUUCAAUUUGGAAAGCAUUUCCUCCAAAUCCCUCAUCUCCUUCUUAAACCCUUCCCCAUCUUCAUCCUCAUCAACAACCCCUCCAUUUCUUCUCAAAUCAACACCGUUCAUUUUCUGAUGCUGAGUCUGAAAAUUAUGCUGACUCAUCACUCCAUUGCCGUUGAUGCUUUGUUUCUGCUGUUGAAAAACACCCAUUUGAGGCUUAUGCUGCAAACUCGUUUUCUGGGGUUGAUGAUCAACAGGCAUCAUUUGAAUAUCCUGAUCACUGGGUAUCGUUGACCGUGGCGCACCGUUCUGAUCGACGGCAGCGGAAUCAUUCUUUACAGCACUAUCGUCCGUCCGAUUCAAGGAGCCAUUCUCAUCCACGGCCAUGAUUGUUCCUUCAGCAACAACUAUGUAUCACAGUACCCAAGACUGCUCCUUUUUCUCCUUCUUCCUUAACCCUUUUUCCCAAAUUCGGGUUCUGUGAAAAAGCAAAACAGAAAAAAGAUCAGUCCUGUCAUUCCCAAUAUAUCCACAUUAUGAGCCAAUAGAAUUUUCAGGGCAAAAAAAUUGGAAAUCAAUAAUUGUACCUGAUACUCUAAAUGGUCUCCAUUAAUCAAAAAAACAAAACCCAAACUCAAAGAUCGUGAGCUGGGAGGAAUUAAAGAAGAGCAAAAACAGGGCAAGACUUUUCUUUUUCUUUGGAGUGAUGUAUUAUUUUACUGAGUCUACAGAAAAAGGAUAAUACUAUGACGAGAGAGGGAGAAAAAAAUGAAAAUAGGAGAAAUAGCAGAGGAUCGAGUAUCCACUGUGGAGUAUUCAGUAGGUUGUGUUUGGUUAUGUCCGUGGAAAUAAGUGAAUACUUGUUAUGGCGUUAUGAAUUAUGAUCGUGGUGUUUAGGUUAGCUUUCGUAUAUCUUAAUAAUUUCAUGACAUAUUUGUUUACUAUCACCAACAAUAGGCAUUUGUAACUUUGUCAAUCAAGAUUAUGACAUAUGAAAAGAAUCAUCUAAUCGACCUCAGAUUUCUCAACCAUUUUAUUGACUAGUAGCUCAUACACAUCGAUAUAGUUAUACAUGUAUUAAUAUUAUAAAGAUUAGUUAUUAUGAAAUUUAAUUUUAUGCACAUAUACAUAUAUUAGUUAUUCUAUUUUCUACAUAAACUAUUUUCUAACUUAGAUAUGUAUUAGUUACGCAUAUUUCUAAAUAAACAAUUUUCUAACUUAGAUAUGUAUUAGUUAUGCAUAUUUCUAAAUUGUCAAUCAAAUAUCGUAUUAAUCUAAAUAACUUAUUUCUUAUUUACUUGCCAAAUAUUAUCCUAUUCAACUUACUUGAGACUUUAAGAGGUCUUUUGAUACUUUCUCUGUGCCAAAAUAAAUAUCACAACAACAAAAAAUUAACAUUUGAGUAUUAGAUGAGAAUGAUUCAGUAAACUAUAUAUUAUAUUUAUUAACUUCUUUAAUGGGCAUGAUUUUUGCUAAGUAUGAAAAUGGAGGGAGUAUAAAGAUCAAGUAAUAUGAAGUAAAUGAAGUACUAUAUGAGAUCAAUAUAAUAAUUUUAUGAUAAAAUUUAAAAUUAAUUUUAUUUCAUAUUUAAUUCAAAAUAUUAACUAAUUUAUAAAUAAUUUUAUACUAAAAUAAUGAAACUAAUUACUUCAUAUAAAAAAUGUCCUAUCUUACUUCAUGGAAUAUACCGGAAUAUCCCACUAUUGCACCAAACAACCCCAAAUAUAGAGAACAACACAGAUAAUAAGAAAUACUUAACAAUUUUACCUUUUUAACUAAGGACGUAUAAAAAUAUUUUUUUUGAAUAUUAUAAUUUUAAAUAUACUUAGUGAUAUAUAAAAAAUUAUAAUAAUUAAAAUAUAAAUUUUUAUAUAAAUGUAUAUAUAAAAGUAUUCAGAUUUUACUAAAAUAUCUAUAAAGAUAGAAUAAAACAUAUAAACUGAAUCAUAAUAAAAAUAAUUCAUUUAGAUGUGUUUCGUGGUAGACACAUGACAUAUCAAUUAUCAUCAUCAUGUGAGUUACAAUUCAAUGAUAAAAUAUGCACUAUCAAUUACUUUGCAUGUUUUUUUUCUAUAUAAACCAUAUAUUAAUUUUUCGAUAAUGUAUUUCUAUUAUAUAGAAGGGAGAGUUUUCAAACUUUAUGGCUAUUUUUUGUCAUAUUUAGAAAAGCUCAAGUGCAAUUUGAUCAUUGCCCCUUGCAAUUAAUGUUUAGAAUUACGGUAUUUGCUAUCUUUUACUCCUUAAAACUCUUGUAUGGCAGUACUUUAUAAUUGUACUUUUUCUUCUUUAGACAAAAAGACCAGCCAACAUCUCUAUAAUGACACAUAUAUCCAUUUUUAUUUAAUUUAAGUGGGCCCCACCAACUUUAUCAUCUCGGCUGACCCAUACUAUUUUGUAUUUCUUUAUUUUAAUUAUCAUGUCUCACCUUUUUUAGUUGAUUACAUAUUUAAAAAAUAAAAAUAAAGUGGAUAUUAAAAUAAUUAACAAUUUAGUAUACUUAAAAAUAUUAUUUAUAUAUAUAUAUAUAAAACUACAUAAAAAGUACUAUAUAUCACAAUAAUUAACAAUUAUUUGACACUUUAAAUUCUAUCAAUACUAUUUAAAUUAGGAUAAAAAGAGUAACAUAUAAUAUUUAAAUAUAUUUUAAAAUAAUAUAAGUAAUACUAUAAAUUACGAUAAUUAACAACUUCGAUAUUUAAAAGUUAUAUAAAAAGUUUGAUUGACUCUCUAAUGUUUUGUUGAUUUAGUAAGGUGAUCAACUAAUAUGAGACAACUAUUUUUAGAAUAAUAGUCAAUUAACAUGGGACGAAGGGAGUGUUAUAGAAUUUGAAAAGUUAGCCAAAUGUUUAUAUGAUUUUAAAAUCAUUUCCUCAUUUCAAAAGAAAAAAAAAACUUAUUUUCUAGAGGAAAUAUGUUAUUAAAAUUUUAGCUCGUCAAAUAUAGAAAAUUAACAUUUUACAGAACACACCAAUAGAUUCAUCAAUUUUUUUUCUCUAAUUUCACGUAAAAACAAAUUUAACAAAAAAAAGGAAUAAUACAUAAUAAUAUUUUAUAUGACUCAUUUUCUAUUUUUAGCAAUUGAGAAAAUACAUUAUUAACUAUUUAAUCCUUAGCUAAAUUAUUUAUGGAUUUCUUAAGUCACUAUAGCAGUAAAAAUGAAUUUGAACAAAAUAAUUAUAUACAUUUCAAAUUUUUUUCUCUAAUUUCACUUAAAAACAAAUUUAACAAAAAAAAAAGGAAUAAUACAUAAUAAUAUUUUAUAUGACUCUUUUCUAUUUUUAGCAAUUGAGAAAAAUACAUAAUUAACUAUUUAAUCCUUAGCUAAAUUAUUUAUGGACUUCUUAAGUCACUACAACAGUAAAAAUGAAUUCGAACAAAUAAUUAUAUGCAUUUCAAUUUUUUUUCUCUAAUUUCACGUAAAAACAAAUUUAACAAAAAAAAGAAAAGAAAUAAUACAUAAUAAUAUUUUAUAUGACUCUUUUCUAUUUUUAGCAAUUGAGAAAAAUACAUAAUUAACUAUUUAAUCCUUAGCUAAAUUAUUUAUGGACUUCUUAAGUCACUAUAACAGUAAAAAUGAAUUCGAGCAAAAUAAUUAUAUGCAUUAAUCCUUAUCGAUGUUUAAUAAAUAUAUAUAGAUAGAUACACUAUCUUGUUUAUACAUUGUAGCAUUUCAUCUUCUUUAAAACUGAUUUUUUUUCAAUGAAAGUACAUAAAUAUUAUUCGUACUAUUCAUUAGUUUUCAACUUUCAACAUGGCUGUUUUUUGCCAUAUUUAGGAAACUUUAAGGGCAAUUUGGUCCAACUUUUAAUAGUUUUCUAAUGAAUAAUAUUGUACUUCACUUUUUUGUAGUUGUACUUUUAAAAUUUGGGACAUAAAAGCCCUUCCACAUAUUACUUUUCAGGCGCAAAAAAAAUUGCCUACUUUCCAUGCAUGUGGGCCAUUUUUUAAAAUGCUAAUUACUUUAUUUGUUUACCAAAUAUGAAAAAAUUAUGUCUUUUUUUAGUUUGUUAUAUAUCUAAAAAUUCUAUAAAUAUAAAUAACACUAUAAAUCAUAAUAAUUGACAACUUAAAUACUUAAAAGUUAUAUAGAAAAUUUAAUUGACUCUCGAAAUUCUAUUGGUAUUAAUUUAUAAAUCACAAUAAUUAACAAUUUAAAAAGUAUAAAAUACAUACAAAAAAUCACUUGACUCUAAAAAAAGCUUAUCAGUGCUACAUAAAUUGGGAUAGGAGAAGUAACAUAUAUGAUCUGAAAAUUACGUUAAAUAUUUAAAAGACAUAUAAAAAAUGAUUAAUUUUUGAAAUUCUAUUUAUGCCACGUAAAUUGAAACAAAGAGAGUAAUAUAUAUUAUUUUUAAAAUUAUAUAAAAAGUACUAACAACUUAAAAUCUUUUUUAAAAUCAUAUAAAAAUUUGGCUAACUUUUCAAGUUCUAUGACACUCUCUUCGUAUCAUAUUAAUUGACUAUUAUUCUAAAAAUAAUUAUUUCAUAUUAGUUGAUCAUCUUACUAAAUCAACAAAACAUUAUUUAAAAUUUUCCUAUAUUACCCUUGCCGUUAAUUUCUUUUAAAAGUGUCACAUUUGUUUGUAAAAUUCUCACAAAGUUUUUUAAGGGUUGAAUUAGUAAAAUUAUUUUCUUAUUUAUAAUUUCUUCAGUACCGUGCAAAAUGAAAAGUAAUCAAUUAAUAUGAGACGAAUAGAUAUUGGACCCCGUGCUAGCACGGGGUCGUGUAUCUAGUAUAUAUAUAUAAAACACUAUCUAGUUUUAGAAAAUUACAAUACAAGCACGAAAAAUAAAAAAUAAAAAUGAAGGAAAAUAAUAACUACAUCAAAAAUUCAUUCUUAUGCACAUGAGUUUUUCGUUUACUUUCAAAACCACUUGGAUAUAUUUUCUAAAAUAGCAUAAAGUCACUGUAAUUAUUAAAUUUUUAUUUUUAUAUUUCAAAUCUCGUAGGAAAAUUCUUACAGUUACACCAUAUAUAGCCACAAAAAUUGUCAAUAAGGCCCACGUUUAAUUAUCGAAGAUAAAUGAAAUCAUUUACAUGUGAUUAUAUUAAUUAAAAUAAUACAAACAAUAAACGUGACUCUAUAUACGUUUGCUCUUGCUUUGUGAAUUGGUGUGCCCAUUUGAAGCAACUUGUGAAAUCCUAAACUCCCUUAGUUUAAUAUUAAUAAUUUGUCUACUAUAUUAUUUUAAGGUGUCUAAUAAUAUUUGUCCAUUUUAUGAAAUCAAUGGAUAAUUUUAUACUUUAUUCCUAAUUUAUUCUUAUCGUUAAUUAUAGUAAUUUCUCUAUUUCAUUUUUCAAGACAUUAUAUUUAUUACAUUUAAAGAGCGAUAUAGUAAAAUUACCUUUUUAUUUAAUAUUUAUAAUUUCUUAAGAAUGUACAAAGUCAAUAAGGGACUAGUAUGAUCGAACAAAGGAUAAUAAACGAUCUCUGGCGCAUAAAAUGCACGUUUAAAGUACUAAUGAAAUAUGAUAUUAUUAAUAUAAUAUUUCACUUUCAACCAAAUAGAUGCAUGUUUAAACUGCAAAGCAAGUUACAACCAAUAUUCUUCUAUGAAGUUUAUUUAUAAAAAGAAAAUUUCAUAAAUAACAAAGAGACUAACUUAAUAAGACUUUUUAGCUACAGUUUGUCUAAUUAUAUUUCAUUGAUAUAGUUUUGUUUGUUAAAGGUAUUUCCAUUUGUAUAGUUCGCUUGUCAUUUGUAUAAUCCAAUUGUCAAUAUAUAAAUAGAUUAAGUAUAUACAAUUUUUGUAUUUAUAUGUUUAAGAAUUUGUCAAAACUUAUACAAAUCAAAUGUAUCAACUGGAUAACUAUAUACAAGUUAGGGUAAGCAUAUACAAAUUCUGGAUUUAUACAAUUAGAAAAUUUCUGGAUCUAUACAAUUAGGAAAAUUCUAGAUUUAUACAAUUAGGAUCAAAUUUUACAAAAUUCUGAAUUUAUACAAUUAAGAGUUGAAUUAUACAAAUUCUUAUCUCGUGAUAUCUCUUAGGUGCAUAAUAAAUAAUAAUUGCUAAUACGCUAUAAGUAUUCAAAAAUUAUUUUGUAAGAAAACUUUGUCCAAUACUUUAAUUUUUAAAAUAAUUAAAAAUAACUUGAUAAGGAAAUUAUUAAUUAUAUUAAAUAAUAUAACUACAUAUUGCUUAAAAGAUAGUAAGAAAAUACGGAAAAGGGUCAAAAUUUCCCCUGAACAAUGCGAAAUAGACCACUUAUACCCUUCGUUACAUUUUGGGAUAAAAAAUGCCCCUGCUGUUAUCCUAAGAGACCACACAAAUACCCUCAAGAGUUAACACCCCAAAAAUUUAGUGACAUGGCAAGCCACGUGGGACUAAGUGCCCAUUUAGAUUGACUUAUUUUAGGUGUUUUUAAGCCAAAAUAGCUUUUAAGCAGUUUUGAAGUGUUUGGGUAAAGUUAAAAAGUGCUUAUAAGCACUUAUUUUAAAGUCAAAAUAACAAAAAUAAGCCAAAAGUCAUAAGUUAGAAAUCCUAACUUAUGGCUUUUGGCUUAUAAGUCAUAAGUAAGCCAAAAGCCAAUCCAAACAGGCCCUAAUCCUUCCACCUAAGCGUUGCCAACUAGGGUUCACUACAAAAGAACUAGGCCUUUAGCGGCGACAACAGUCGCCACAAAAUCCCAGAAAGUCGUCACUAAAGGUUUUUUAAUAAGAAAUUCUGAUUUGUGUGUUUUUUCUUCAUUGUUUUUUAAAAAACCAAAAAUGAUAUCGAUUAAGGAGGAGUUUGAAGACACUAUAUGUCUUAUUUUUAUAUCAUAUGUAAAUGUAUAAAGUGUAUGAUGAAGCAUUAUUUAGUAGGAGAUUUGAAUCGAGAAAUAGUUUUGAUGAUUUUCGUAAUAAUAUUGGAUGUUUUUAAUGUUAAUAGUCCAAGUUAUUUAUUUUAGAAUAUUAGGUUGCAACCGAAAAUUAAUAAUCAUAUUAUUUUGUUGAAAAAUAGGUUUUACUAGCGAAUGGUUGUUGCAACCUUAGUCGCCACUAAAAAUCACUCAUAAUCUUUAGUAACAAUAUUUCGGGAUUUUGUGGCGACUAUUGUUGCCGCUAAAGGUCUAGUUCUUUUGUAGUGAAUCCUAGUUGGCAACGCUUAGGUGGAAGGAUUAGUCCCACGUGGCUUGUCAUGUCACUAAAAAUUUGAGGUGUUAACUCUUGAGGGUAUUUGUGGUUUCUUGGGAUAACGGCAGGGGCAUUUUUUAUCCCAAAAUGUAGCGAAAGGUAUAAAUGGUCUAUUUUGCAUAAUUCAGGGACAAUUUUGACCCUUUUUCGAAGAAAAUAUAUACGUGAAAGGUACAUAGCUUAAACAUUUUUUUUUUUGUCAAUUUGUCAUAGCAUUUAGUGCGAGCAAAUUUUGGAAUGACAUUGCAAAUUGCAGCAUGAAUCAUGUGCGUGGCAAUCACGUCACAAAAAAUUUAAAAAAUAAAAAUUGAUAUAUGUGGGACUAAUACUUCCAUCGUUUUCAUUGGUUAGCUUUUCUUUCUUAUUUAACUUCUAGCAAAAUAAUGUCACAUUUAUAUUGAGCCAUUGCAACACUUCAUAUCGAAAAGAUUUAAGAAUAUUUUGAUAUAUUACAAAUACUUUUAAUAUUCAUAGAAAAUUUACUAAAUGUAUUGUUAUUAUUAUUAUUAUUAUUACAUAUCUCUUUAAUAUAAUAUUAUAAAAUUUAAAAACUAAAAGUUAUUACUUUGUGUCAAGCGACAAAUUGAAAUAACGAAAUACUAUUUUGAUUGGACCACGUGUAAUGAGUACCUAUCAACCAAUGGAGAGAGAGACAAGGUCUUCCACAUGUUAGUUGGUUUCAUCCUGCUUCAUACAGUAAAAAUGACAAUGGAGCGAAGCAAAUGCGAGAUAGAGUGAGUUUUAUCUUAUGUUGGGUUGGGUAGAGUAAGUCUAACUUUAUGCCGUGAGUAAGACGGAUUGAAUUUUUUGUUAAAAAAUUUAGUGUGGGUGGGGAUGCAAGGUGUAGGUGGCAAGUUGCAGAAAUUUUCCAAACUCCCUCCCAAAAUAUAUCUCUUGUGCUUUCUUUCAUUAUAGUUUAGUAGAUGUAUAAAAAUCUGAUUUUAUAUCACAUAUAUAACUUCCAUUUUAUAUUAAUCUGAUGUAUAGCUUUAAUUUUUAUAUCAAUCUAAUUUUAUAUUUCAUGUUCAAAUGUGUCCUACAAAGCCGAACAAAAUAUUGAUUUGUGGGCUGGACCAGCUGAGGUCUGGCCCAGAUUUUGUUAUUUGCUUCUUUAGUUUCUCUUUAAUAUAAUAAGUAUAUUUUUGGCCAAGAACUAUUUUGAUAUAUAUGGGAAAAUUUCAUAAAUAGCUACCGUAAAAAAAUAAUAGGCUUUCAUAACUAGAGUUUGCAUAUUUACGCAGUAUAGCUAUAAUUUAAAUAGCUAAAAUGAAUAGUUAUAUAUAUAUUUGACUCAUCAAUGAUUUAUGACAAUAUGUAUAAAUAUAUAUAUAAAUUGGAAGUAUAAGUAAUAUUAAUUUAUUUAUUUUAAUAAUAAAUAUGACUUUUUCCCCAGAAUUCAUUUAUUCACGACUCACGAGAUAAUUAUAAAUAAGUUCAUAUGAAACUAACAAGUUACUAUUAUAAAUUAAAUUAUAUUAAUAUAUUAAAAAUUAUACACUUUUUUGUAUACAUAAAUUAAUUCGAUAUCAAUAACAAUAGAGUUACCUCCGUGCUUGAUUAUAAAUGUUAUUCCCUUUGUCUCAAUUUAUGUGAAAUAUUUCGUUUUUCGAAAGUCAAACAAUUUAAGUUUAACUGAAAAUUUGUUCAUGAAAUCUUUAAAUUUUUAAAAAAUGAAAUUUCUAUAUUAGUAAACUACAUAAAAAGUACUAUAAGUCACAGUAAUUGACAAUUCAAAAUAUCUAAAAGAUAUAUAACAAUUUACGGUCAAAGAUAAACUUGUUUGAAUGUGAAAAUCCGAAAUGUGUCACAAUUAGGAGAGAGGAAAUAAUUGAGUAAAUUCACUUGUUGCAUGCCAAUUGCCAAGCGGUGAAGAUGUUAAUAGUUGUACACAUUACACAAUGGUGCAAUCAUCAAUUUCCGUAAGUAUAUUUUGAGGUGUUUAAGAUUUAAUAUAAUUUCAUUCAACUUAUAUAUAUAUGAUAUAAAUUUUUUUCAUAUAAGGUUAAAUUGAUCAUCAUAUUAUUAAUUAUAAUUCCGCCCCUCCCAUAAUUGUAUGAUAAAUUAAGUAGCCUAUGCUUUUAAAAAGAGCCAAACUAAAGUUGGUGGUUUAGAAAGGCCGUGUUAGGUUAAGUGAGACUUUAUGCAAAGCUUAUAGUUAUAAACUAAUAUGGUUGUUAAUUUUAUUACUAACAUAAUCGAAAAAGGAUGCAAAGAAUCAUAAUAAUGAAUAAUCACAAGAGUCAAGAGUAGUUUUCUCAUCCCAAUUAUUAUUUUGUCUGUAGUUUGGCGUGCACUAAAGCACGAUUAUUGCAUGCACCAAUAUUCUUUAUUAUGAAGGAUCCACCAAACCCUGCAAUAAUUAGUCAUAUAUCCUAACAUUAAUAUUAUCAUAAUUAUACUAAUUAUUCCCUCGGUUUUGUAUUACUUUUAAUGUUUAUUGAUCUGUCACAUCUCUUUAUUUUUUUUAAUUAAAAGUAUAUUUUAUUAAAUUAGUCUUAUUAAUAAUGUGUUGAAACUUUAAUAUUAAGAGCAAUAUCGAAAGAAAAAUAAAUCUUGAUAAGCGAAAAUAAGUAAGUAUUCCCUCAUUACAUCUGACUCGUGUUAACCUGACAUAUUCCUUGAAAAAAAACAAUAAAAUGUACAUUUUACAAAACUAACUUUAUUAAUACUAAUAUUUUGGAACUAUAAAUAUGAUUACUAUUACCUUAUAGGAAAAAAGUAAUAAUUCUCUUAAUUUGCUAAAUUAAAUAAGUAAAAUUAAAAUAUUUAAUUUUGAUAUAGAAGCUAGGAAAAUGGAACAGAGCAAGUAAAAAGGAAAUAUACUAUAUAUUUUUUAUGUUUAGGUACGCCACCAAUCUUAUAAUACUUUCCCCUGUGAUUCUUAUAGAAAUAGGUAAAUCAUUUAUUAUUUUCUUAGGUCAUUUUUAUGUGUUUAAUAUAUUAAAAAUAAUUUUUAUUUUAACAUAUUAAAUAAAAAAAAAAUUGCUUUCCUGUUUCAACCUUAAGGUGAAUUAUCUAUUGAUAUCUAAAUCGUUUCAUAAGUCCUUUAAUUUGUAACUACUCACCAGGAAUAUAUAUGAGCUAAUUAUAUACUUGUUUAUUAUUUUUAAUAAGAGUAUAAAAUCUACUAUGGACAAUUAAAUGUGAGUGAAGAGAGUUAUAUAAAUAAGGGGAAAAUGUCUGAAAUAUAUCUGAAUUUUGAUCGAAAUUGUUGUAACAAUCCAAAAUUUUAGGCAGGACCUAUUACCUCCUGCACUAUUUAAUACUGUAUUUUAAAGAUAUAUAAGUGUCUAGCUGGACAAGUUACUAUUUAUAAUGAUGUAAUAUUUAUGAUUUCACGUGAGCACAUAUAUAUCUUCGAAAUACACUAUUAAAUAGUGCAGGGGUAAUAGGUCUUGCCCAAAGUUUGGGAUUGUUACAGCAAUUUCGGUCAAAGUUCAAAUAUAUCUCGAACCCUUUUUCCUAUAAAUAAUUGCAUCAUCAUUCUAGUGCAAUACUAAAAGAUUAAAAUUUAGUGAUAGAUAAAUUUGUUGAUAAACAACAAAAUGAGUAGUUAAUUUAACCCUAUUUAGUGACAAGUUAUCAAAAAAAAAAAAUCGAUUAGCUAUAUGUAAUUAAGCAGCAGAUUAAAAAUAAAAUUCAUAACUAUUUUUUUUUUUUAAUAAUGGUUUGUACUUUUGUUAAUGUCCACAAUAAUUUAACGAGCCAAAAAUGGCUUUAUUGGGGAUUAUUAGACAGCAACAUGAGAGGGAAAUCAUUAAAAUAUUGCGCCAAACACGGAAGAACACAUGCAUAAAUAUGACGAUACCCUAUAUUUGAUACUUUUGAUUCAAAUAAUUUUAAUAGCUCGUUAAGAAAAACACUCCUUAUUUGAAGUAUACUUUUAAUUUUAAGACUCAAAUAUACACAAUAUCGACAAUUAAGAGUGAAGAGACAUCAAUUUUUUUAUGAUUUUGAGGGGGUCAUUUGAUCGUUAAGAAGAAUAUUCAGAAAGAUAUGUCCAAAUAUAAAAUUCUGAAUAAAAUAAUAGCAAGUCGUAAAAGUAUUAUUUUUAAAGACAAACAUAUUUUUAUUACUUAAUCCAUGUAUUAUAUAAAAUAUAUUUCAUAUAUAUUGUAGUACUCACUGUUUUAUUUUAUUUUAAAGUCAACAUCACCAACAAGAACAAGUAGGAGACAAUUUGUCAACGCAUUUUAUGCCUCCAAUGAUAUAAAACCUUAUUGAUUUUGUAUAGCAAGAUUUUGUGUGAAAGACAACUUUUUAUAUGCAUCUAUGAACACCAUAAAUAAACUCACUUAAAUAUACUUAGAAAAAAAAAUUUAAAAACUUUUUCUUUCUUGUCUCUUUACACUUUUUAUCUAUUUUCUUACUUAUGAAUAUAAUUUAUUAUAAUAUAAAAAAUAAAGGCCCAAGCAAGUAGGAUUGUUUGAUGGACCAGGAUUUACUUGGAAGUUUGUUGGGCUUGUAUUGUUUAUCUGCUUAAAAAAUGGGCCAGUAAUGCUGAUAUAAUAUUUUAAAGGAAAUUCUUUUAUAAAUAUACAAUAGAGUAAUUUAAAUUGCACUAAAUAUAAUCCAAGUUUUUAUUUAUAUAAAAAAUAGCCUAAAAUUAGUGAUACAUACAAUAAAAUUACUUUUGACCACAUGGUUAACGUAUAUGUAGUAUAUUGAUACGAUAUAUAAUGUAUCGAUAUUGUAUAAAUAAUGUAUACUUCGUGUAUAAAUUAUACAUAACUAUAUACCAGAUAUGUAAUACAUCUAUAUACAUUGUUGAUACAAUAAAUUAUACAUUGAAUGUUGACUUCUUUUUUUUCAGUCGCAACUAACUCAAAUCUCCUCUAAACAGUUCCAAAUUAGAUACAGUUUCCUCUCGAUAUUUCAAUUUUUUAAAAAUAUAUUAUUCACUCAAAAGGAUUCACGUUUGCGACAAAUCUACCUCGUGAUAUACUUGUUAAUUAUGAAUGUUAUGAGAACUACAAAAUCGUGAAUCUGUAAAUUUUUAAAGAAGUGGUUUCAUGAUAAUCAACUCACGUACAUUUCAUCAAAAGAUAACCGUUACCUCAAGAAGUUAAUUAUCACUAAAUAAGUAAAAACUAUCAUUAUUUUUACAUGAUUUGUACUGCAUCACUAGAGAUGAGUUCCAUGGAAUAAUUCAUUUGCAAACUCUUUACUGCCAUCUAGAUAGUCUAAGAAAUCUUUUACGGGAUAUAAAAAGAUACAUUUUUGAAAGAGUUAAAAGAAUCACAUGAAAGAGGGGCUAAAGGGUAGAGACAAAAAAAACAAAUAAGACUACAGGAAUAAUGAACUAAUAAUUGGGCUAAGUUUGAUUAGUAUAGUGACCAUUGAGUAGUAAACUUGUCACGAUUCUGACCGUUGUGAUUGACACCCACACUAAUCCUCCGGUGGGAGAACCAUUAAUACUAAUUAGUUAACCCGAGAACUACGCAACUUAAUCAAAACUUAGGCAUUUAAAGAUACGGAAGCAGGUUUAAAUGCAAGAGUCAAGUAGAGUUCCCAUAAACUCCAAUAGAUCUAACAAAACAUUGCGGAAAUUACUGCUUAGAACCUGAAAGUCAAUGUAUCAAAACUUUAACAAGGAAUCAUAAGUCUAAAGGAAAUGGGUACAACCCAAUUAAACACAAGAAAACUAAAGCACUAGUCUAAGUCCGAAGAUGUGGACAUAAUUAAUACAAAGAGAACUCAUGACAGCCCAGAAGAACUGGCUCACCCUUGAAUUCGAGUCGAUCACUGGUCUUCUGAACGAGGUCAGUCAGUAGCCGCCUGAAGAUACUUACGAACAACGUCAAUUUCACAAUCUCAAAGAUAUAUAGACAUGUCAAGUCAUUGGUCCUCUCACGGAAACCAUACCCAAACUGUUAGUGUACCGGUACGUGGUACCCGAUCCAAGUUAGUGUGUCGGACGUGACACUCGAUCCAAGUUAGUGUGUUGGAACAUAACACCCGAUCCGUUCAACAAGCCACAAUCACAAUCACAAUGUACAUUCUCAUAAUCAUACAAUCAAGUGUUGAUUCAUGGCAUACAAUCAUUCAUUCAUGCUCAUUUACGAUUAGUGUGGUCAAUAGUGCAAUGUUCGCAUAAAUAUAUGCAUACAAUCACACUCAUAUGUACAUUCUCAUAAUCAUACAAUCAAGUCAUGAUUCAUGACAUACAAUUAUUUAAUCAUUCUCAUUUACAAUUGGUGUGAUCAAUAAUGCAACAUUCGCAUACAUGUAUGCAUUACAAUGAAGUAAUUACUAACAUACAUCACACCAACAUGAAAUCACAACUAUCACCUACCUCGAACAAAGCUUGAACCUUCAUAAGAAACUUGACAAACAAUCAACAUAACGCAGAGAUCAAUAAACGAUGGCUAAUUACCCGGAUUACAAUCAAUACUAUCAACCCUAAGCCAAACCCAUGAUCCCAAUACCCAAAAUAGGGCUUUUUCCACCAUCCAAACAGCUCUAAAACCCUCCCCUAUCAAUAAUUACCCCUGAAUUUACAUUCUACGAAUUGAAAAACGGAUUCGGGGAGUGAAACCUUACCUUUAGCCUCAAGAAUAGUGAAAAACUGCCAAGAAGUCGCCCUGGUUCGUCUCCUAACUCUUAAGAACGAAGUUUGCAGAAUAAUGACGUUUUUGGGGUUUAUUUCCGACUUAAUUCGCGAUUGGCCCGCUAUGACGGCCCCCAUCCCGCCAUAGCGUCCCCACCCUGGCGGCUUGCACAGAACCAGUGAGCCGGAUUAAGAGUUUCAAACCCCCAUUUCACAACACACAUUCAUCCCAUGACACUCAGAAACUAUCCUCUCGCGCUAAGAUCAAUUUUGGGAGUUCUACUCGCCCAAAUUCAAUUCCGUAAAGUCGUAUGGUUUUCUUAACGUCUUAGCUAUCCACUUAUGCGAUCAAAUUCAUUAUUAGAUCUUUCAUUUGUUACCAGAUUUCCCCAGACCUCACUGACUCCGAUUUCGUCCAAAUCUGGACUAGGUUGGAAAAUUCCAAGUUUAUCAAAAAGUUUUCUGCCCAAAAAAUUUUCCCGUUUACUUUUCUAUAACGACGAGAAUAGAUCGUUACAAAACUAAUAAUUUGACUAAUUUUGGUUAGUAAGAUGAUCUAAUUAUCAUUCUUUUUUAUUUUUGUUUAAUCAAUUCUGAAUGGAGAUGUGUGUAGUAGACAUAAUAUAUUGAUAAAUAUAGUCUUUUUGAAAGUCAAGGGAGCCAUUAACCCUUAACAAUUUAGUUCAGUUCUAAAACCUUUACACUAUUUUCUUACUAUUUUUGACCCCCUUUAUUUACAUUAUAUCAAACAAUUUAAUCAAUAGUUAAAAUCAAAGUAUUUAUCACUUAACUAUGCCAUAAAAGCGAGAUAGGGUAGUACACCAAUUUGCUUCUGAGGUGUUUUAAGCUUGUAUUAGUAAUAUGAUGGUUUUAAUUGUGCUAAUAUUAAUUACGUUAAAAUCAUUCUUAUACAUUAUUAUUUAAUAUAGGUGUGUUUUUAAAAAUCUACUUACAUAAGUUCAUUCACAACAACAACAACAUGCCCAGUGAAAUCCCACUAGGUGGGGUCUGGGGAAGUUCAUUCACAAAUAUAGUGAAAUAUAUGUGGAGAAAAUGUUUUAAAAGACAAUUGUGUGUUUAAUCAUAUUUAUGCAUGAAUUGAAAAUUCAUGUAUUGUUAAGGGCAAACACCAUAAAUUUCAUUAGUUUAAGAUCUAAUUAUGUGUCUUUUCGUGAGUUUUUGAAAUUAUUAUUCGUGCCAAAUUUUGAUAUUUAAAUACAUUUAUCUAGCGCGUUCAUAUACACGUAUUCCAGAUAAUGAGAUCAUUUUUUGUGUAAUUUGUUUUAGAUACAUUCUAUCCAACUAGAUAUACAUGUACCUGGAAUACAUUAAUUCUCUCAUUCUUUCUUUUCUAUUAGGGGUGGCAAAUGGGUGGAUUGGAUCGAAUUCAGAUGGAUUGAAUAUGGAUUGAGUUAAAAUAGAUUGGAUCACAAUCUACCCAUAUAAAAUAUGGGUAAAUAUGGUUUGAGUAAAAUGGUUGCAACCCACUUUAAUCUUCUAAAGCAAAAAAAUAUUAAAUCAAAGCUACGUACCUCAACCCUUACCAUCACACCCUACCCCAUAUCACCCCACCUCUAUAACCCCCCUCCCCCCCAAAAAUAAUAAUUUAAAAGACCUUUUUUGUGAAAUUUUUUUUGGCAACCCCACCCUCACCUCCAAAAAAAUUUCAAAAGAACUUUUUUUUUUGGAAAAAUAAAAAUUUUAUUAUUUUUUUAAAAUAUAUUUNNNNNNNNNNNNNNNNNNNNNNNNNNNNNNNNNNNNACUUUUUUUUGAAAAAAUAAAAAUUUUUAAUUUUGCCAACCCUACCCCCACCCUCACCCAGGACACCCCCCACCCACACACAAAAAAGUUUUAUAAAAAAUUUCAAUUUUUUUUUGCCCCCACUACCACAUCCACCCCCACCGCCACCCCAGUUUUUUAUAUUUUAUUUUCAAAAUAAAUAGUGCAAUUAGGGAUUUUUAUGGUAAGAGAGUGAUAUAUGGGUAUAUAUGGAUUCUCAUGUUUACCCAUUUUGUCCAUAUUUGUAUGAGCUUAAAUAAGUUGAUGCCCAUAUUUACCCAUUUAAGAAAAUAUGAGUGAUCCAUUGAAUUUAAUAUGGAAAAAAUGGUUCCUUCCAUUUAUAUGAGCUGAAAUUGCCACCCCUAGUUUCUAUCUCGCUUGCCUCUCUCCUCCGUCGCUUGCCUUUCUCACUCGUCUCUCUUCCUAUGUAUCCAUAUUUUAUAGUGCAUAUGACUUAUAAUUUGAUAUGAAGUUAUUAAUUAGUGAGAUCCUAUAUAAUUAUUUCAAACUAUAGAAAAAAAAUAGUAAAUAUGGUAAGAAUGUCUGUAUAACUAUUAGUUUUUUUUUCAAUUGUUAAUCCCAUAAUUUGCCACGUAGUUGUAGAAAACAUAAUAAAAUAAAUGGAUCAUUUGGUAGUGUAUAUAUAAGAAAUAGAGUUGAAUAAAGUGCAUUAGUAGUGGUGAUAUUACUAAUGUUGAUAUUAGUUAUGAUGAGACCAUUUGCUUAUAUAUUGUUUUUUUUAUGUAUUAAAAAUAAUAUGAAUUGCAUAAUUUCUAAAAAUAAUUAUUUGUUUACACAAAUACCGUCCAUAAUACAACAAAAAGAAUGUGUAAAAGAUUUUGAGAGACAAUUAUAUAUUUAACCAUGCUAGUACAUUCAUCAAAAACUCUUGCAUUACUGACACCAUAAUUUAUCAUGUACUCCCUCUGUCCAAUAAUAGUCGUCAACUAUUAACUUGACACACCCCUUAAGAAAUUAUAAAUAGAAGGACAAUUUUAUUAUAUCACCCUUUGAAUAUACUUCCUCCGUCCCUAAUUACUUGUCCACUUUUUCUUUUUUAGUUGUCCCUAAUUACUUGUCCAUUUUGACAAAUCAAGAAAGGACAAAAUAUUUUUACCUAUUAUACCCUCAAUUAAUUACUUCGAAAAAGGUAGAACUUUUUGAAAAUCUUAAGUUUUUAAUUCAUCCACUUCAUAAUUAAUAGGGGUAAAAUGGUAAACUCACUAUGUUAAAUAAUUGCUUUCUUAAUAGGUGUGUCAAUUUAAAAGUGGACAAGUAAUUAGGGACAUAGGGAGUAAUAAAUACAGUGUGUUGAAAAAUGUAAUAGGAAAAUGACUAUAAUUAAUGAUAAAGAUAAAUUAGGAACUAAAUGUAAAAUUAUUCAUGGAUUUCAUAAAGUGAACAAGUAUUGUUGGACGUCUAUUUUUAAUAGGCGUUUGGCCAUGCGAUACCAUAUCAUGAUAUGAAAUCGUGAGAUGGAUUCAACGUUUGGACAUGCGAUUUUACGCUGAUUCUAUCUCAUGAUUCCAUAUCAUGAGAUGUGAUUUCAUAUUCUCCAAAAACCAUGAUAUGAGAAUUUCAUAUCAUGAUUUGAGAUAUUUUUAAUACAAAAAUUGAUCCAUAAGUUUAUAUUUUGUUAAAACGACCCCACAUUUAUAUCUACUAACCAUUUUUCAUAUGUAAAUAAAAUUUAUAAUUACAUCAUUGCUUUUUUAAAUUUAUUAUUCUUACCGACAUAAAAUUUAUUAUUCUCACCAACACAUAGUCAUUUUAACUCACAUCAACCGAUUGUUGAGUAAUAAAAUUGUUCUCUUCAUUUACUCCAACACCUAAUUUAUUACUUCUACCGUUUUGUAUUUAUUACAACUCAAAGUAACAAUGUUGGUUCGUCUUCUCGGUCACAUGAUCGAGAAAUGCAAGUUCGGCGUGAGGAAAUUGUCCGUACUAUGUGAGAGGAUUAUAUUAAAGACUAGUACACUACAAUUUAUAUUCAAUUUUUUUUAUUGAAUUAAAGUUAGUUGAAACAAUUACUUAAGUGGAGAUCAAAUAACUUUGUAAUAAUUUAUUAUGAGAUUUUAUAAUUUUUUGUUUAUUUGUUAAGAUUGAAUAAACAAUUGGGGAUUUUUAAUAGUUUUACAACUUAUGAGAUUCUUAUGUUUAUGAGAAAAUAUACAACUCGAAAAUUUCAUAUCGCAUGUCCAAACAAAACUUCAAUUUCAUCUCAUAAUUCCAUAUAAUGAUAUUAUAUCAUGAUUCCAUAUCAUGAUACCAUAUCGCAUGGCCAAACGAGCUCUUAGUAUAGUGGACAAGUAUUGUUGGACGGAGGGAGUUAAUUAUGCAUAACAUAUUACCAAAUAAAGUACAUAAAAAGUGAAAAUUAUACCAAAUAAAAUAUUAAAAAUACACAAAGCUAAUCCAUGCAUUAUUAUUAUAAUACAUCCUACCAAAUAACGUGUGUGUAUCGGUCGAUUCAAUUCGAUUUUAUGUAUUAUCAAUUCGGUUUUAUCAAUUUUUAAAUAUGCUAAACCAAUACCGAUUUUAGAUUUAUCAGUUUUGAUCCUUAACAGUUGAGUUUUUCGAUUUAACCAAUAAAAAAUGCUUGUGAAACAAAUAUAUGACUUCUCUAACAAUUUGACACGACAAGACAAUAAUGUAACUUUGCAAAUGCUCCGUAACACCUCAGAAAAACUAGUAGGUGAAACUAGAACCUUACGAGUGUAUUGUUGAGUUUGAUGUGGGAUUUUUUGUUGUUAAAUGAGUUUCCGAGCUUAGGUUGAGGGGUUUAAAGGUUAAACGUCAAGGUACGACUCCCGAAGGACCAACCAAGACCUUAAAGCCUAACCCCCAAAGCUCCCCAAAACUGCCUAAGUUGCCAAAAAGUUGUGGGCUACGGGUGGUACCUACCCCUGUAGGUCCAUCCACUCCUCGUAGAGAGGUUUCAUGAGUCCAGAGAUGAGAUGUCAAGUUGCAGACCCCACCCACGGACCUGCAGGACGGGGUGUAAGUGCACCCACGGUCCGUGGGUCAAGGGGUGUGGAUCACACCUGGGAAUCUGCCUAGGCUCGGCUAAUUAAGGGGCAAGGUGGUAAAUUCUUAGGGUGGUUAGUUAAGUUAGGGGUCGGUUUGUUUUGAUUAUUUAGAGUUAUUUAAGGUUUUUUAAACUAUUAAACACCCCCUUACAACUCAUUAUUCCCAAAAACACAAAAUAAAAACUAUAUCCUCUCCAAAUAAUUCUCUCUCUGGAAACCUCCAUUGGAGAAGAAGAAGUCAAGGUUUGGAGUUCAAGAGUUCAUCUUUUCUCUUCAAUUUUGUGGAGAAUCUUCAGUCAAGGUAUGGUAGUUUUCAUCUAUGGGUAGCUUUCACCCAUAAAGUCCCUUCAAAACAUGAUUUCAAAGCUUUCAAAUUCCCCCAAAAGUUAGGGUUUCAAUAUAAGUCAUGGGUUCAAUUUCAAAACGUUUUCAAAGGUUGAUUUAUGAUGAAUGAUGAUUGAAUUGAGGAAUUAAUGUUGUUUUAUGAUGAAAUUUCCCCAUGAACCCAUGAUUCCCCUAAAAUAUUAAAUUGUGAAUUUAGAAUGUGGGUUGAUUGAUUAUGGAAGCAUGUUAAUUGAGUAUGUCUAUCUUGAUUGAGUUAUUGAAUCAUGAUAUUCCCCUUAUCUAAAUGUUUGGGUUGAAAUUGAUUCAUAGCCCUGGAGGGCAAAUUAUGAAAGAUUGAUGUAUAAUCAUGAUGCUAUGCAUGAUCCAUGCCUAAUUGUAGUAAUUCUAGGUGUGUUGGUGAAUUGUGAUUCAUAGCCUUGAAGGGCAAAGUAUGAAGAAUUGAUGUAUAAUCAUGAUGCCAUGUGUAUGCUUUGUGAUUUCAAUGAAAGUAAUGUGACCAUGACUACAAUGCAAUUGUGAUAUUAUUGUAAUGUUAUUCUCAAUUAUACACUUGUGAAUGAUGAUGGUAUAUUGUGAAAGAUUUCUUCAAUGUAAUGAUAUACCUUGAAUUGGUAGGCUUAGGGCAUCCUCUUUAACUAAUGUAUCUGGACUUAAUGAAUAUUGAAUCGGUAGACCUAAUGGUUGUAGCCCUUUCCUGUUAUGAAUAAUGAACAUUGAAUUGGUAGACCUAAUGGUGGUAGUCCUUUCAUGUAAUGAAUAAUGAACCUUGAAUUAGUAGACCUAAUGGUGGUAGCCCUUUCAUAAAUGAUUAAUGAAGUAUUCUAAGGCUAUGUCUUGAACCGGUAGACCUAAUGGUGGUAGCCCUUUAUGAUGAGUCUAUGAACUACUAAUGUAAUGAUGAACAUUGAUUCGGUAGACCUAAUGGUGGUGGCCCUUUCUUGAGGAUUCAAUGAGCUAUCCUAAUAAUGUACCUUGAAUCGGUAGACCUAAUGGUGGUGGCUCUUUCAUGUGUGUAAUGUACUUUGGGUCGGUAGACCUAAUGGUGGUAGCCCUCUUAAGUAUAAUAAUGUUAAUGAGAAUGAACUACUCUAUGGGAAUGUAAGCUUGACACCGAGUUGAUAUGGUAAGAUAGAAGCUCUCCCCAUGUUAGGCCGGGUUUCAAUGAACAUCUUCUUUAUCCCAAAACUAUGUGCCCACAUAAGUUAUUAGCUAGUAGAUCCACCUAAGUUAAAAUGUUAUGGGUCCUACCUUAGGCAAGUAGACCAACCCUUUACGGUGUAGGAUAGACACCGAAUUUCAUGGUUUACUCACAUGGUCUAUGUCGGUUAAUGUUUAUUCCCAUCAUGUGAGAUACAUGCUAUAGUUACUCAAGAGGUUCUAUGAAGUGUGGGUGGUAGUAUGAGAUGCCAUUCAUGUAUUGCACGAGUAGGCUUUGCGAGGGCUAUGGUGUGUUCUCUAAUGUCUUAAUGUCUAAUGAAAUGAAUGUGCUCAUAAUGAAGCUAAUGAGAAUGUUGACUUAAAGAGUUAAUGAAAUGAUGAAUGCUCAACUUGAAAAUGUUAUUAUGAGUUCAUUUCCUUGUCAUGCCUUAUUGAAUGUAAAUGUUCAUUGUCUAUGAUUAUUGACUAAAGAGGAGAUUGAAGAAUGAUAAAUAUGUUAUAGUGGCCUCAAAGUGGUACUUAGUAUGAAUGGUAUUAUGGGAUGCCAUUCAUAUAUUGCACAAGUAUAACUUAGGGUUACUUUCAUGAUGACUCUAUUAUGUUCUAAUGACUUACAUGAUAAAUAUGCUUAUGUCUUGUAUGUUUAUACUAAAGAUGCAUGAUGAUUCUCAAACUUGACAUAAAGCAUGGUUUUCAACCAAAAUGUCCUUUUAAGCAUGGUUUUUACAUGGCUAUCAUACUUAGUACAUUUUUUUUGUGUUAACCCAUAUUUCUUCUAUUUUUCUACAAAGUGUAGGUUCCGGAUCUUAAGGUGAUUUUCUUUGGAGUAAAACUUGGAUUGACUAUUCUCUAAGCUAGUGGUGAGUCCUCAAGAUUCGAGGACAUAUGAGAGUCUUUAGUAGUUUCUUAUGUCAUUUUACGUUUCAGACUAUGUUUAAGUGCUGUGACCCUAUCUUUGAUUCAAGUUGUAUUAGAUGACCAUGUGAGACAAGUUAGACUUCCGUUGUUUGUUUUUAAGUAAAGUUUUCGAUUGUAUGGAUUAAAAGUUUUAAAUUCCGUACUAUUUUUCAUAUGUCUUAUGUUAUGAAUGCUAUGAAGUUUUUCGGAGUCUUGUACGCCGUGUCACGUCCGGGGUGUAGGCUCGAAUCGUGACAUGCUCAUAAAAUAUAAACAGUAAUAACUAACAUGAAAAGAUUAUACAAGUGUAGCACAAAGAGAAAUUAAGAGGGAAAAAAAUUCUUACUUUAGAUUUUGAUGUUUUGUAUAUUGUGAAGUAUAAAUUGAAGGCUAAAAUGCAAAGAUAGUAACUACUAACUAGUGAUGCAUUGAGACUAAUAUUUAACAUUUAUGUACGGGUAAAGUAGUAAAUUACUACAGUCUUAAUGUGUUAUCAAUUUAUCCAAUAACUCAAUAUUCAAAAAUCAAAAUCGAAUCGAUAAAUCGAUAGAUUUUUUUAUUAAACCAUUAGAAAAUUGUUAACCCAAUAACCCAAUAAAAAUUAAUAAAUAAUAUUUUUUUCAAUUUCGAUUUAUCGAUCGAUUUAAUUUUUGCACACCCUGCGAAACACUCCGGGGAAAUUGAGAUUCCAAAAGGGAACAUGUGUAAAUAAAUCAAAGCUGAGGGGUUAAAAGUGAAAAUCAAUGGAACAGAUCCUACACCGUUGGCAUUUAUAACCAGAAAAAAGCCCUAAAAUUAAGAACUCUCUGGAAGAAGUGCAGCACAGCACCAGGAGAGAGAACCCGACAAGAACUGGAGAAGAAGUUGAUCACCAAUUUCAUCAGAAUUCCGCCGAGCCGAAAUUGAAAUUCCAGGUAAUAUUUAGUAGAUUUUUUUCUCACAGCUCUGUCCUAAGAUAAGGGCACAUUUGUUAAUCCCUGAGAAGGGUCGAGGGUGGAAGAAACCCUAGUUACGAAUCUGUAAAAAUCUUACCGAAUUUAGCUAUUUCUGUAUUUUCUGGAUGUUCUGUGUUGCGAAUUGAUCGUUUUCUGUUUGUGGCAGAAUGGGUUCAUUUCGUAAUCCCAGGGUUUGUUUUAGCCUGGGUGUUGCUUCUCAUUGUUCGUCGGCUUUUGCUAGAAAAGCUCGAACUUUUAUGGGUCAUAUCUCUUGUGAUGUUUCUUGUGUUACAUAACAGUGUGAUAGUUUUUUUAUUAGUGAAAUUCGUACUGCAAUAGCGUUUUUCCCUUCAAAGAGCUGCAACCAUCAUGUCGGACUUGCUUGGCAGGAAAUAAUAGGAAUAUUGGAAUUGAAAGAUGAAAUUCUAAUCGUGUAAUAAGAAAAAUACUUGAUGGGUUUGCUUGGUAUGACAGAGAAUAUUUUAUUGAAUGGUUUUUUACUCAUUGAAUCGUUCUCCAAUGUUUAUUUCCUCAAUGGUUGAAAAUUCACCACCAAAAGGGUGAAAACAACUUAAGUCAUUUUCCAUUGCGAAUAUUCUGAAUCUCACUCUAUAUCACUUGCUUCAUCCAACACAUAAGGGUCGUUGUCAACUUUAAUAUUCAAAGAUUUCACCAAAAUACCAUCCUCCAUCUUUUAUGAUUGCUGGGGUGGAGCCACAUUAUAGUUGACGGGUUUGGUAGCUUAUAGCCUGGGUGGACAGAGUUACUGGUACCUGGUACUGGUACUCGUUGCUGGUGGGAGGUGGCAGGUAUCCCGUGUAAUUAGUCGAGGUGCGAGAAAGCUGGCCAGGACACCAUGGUCAUCAAAAAUAACAUAAAUUUAUCCCGAACCCAUUCUCUUUAUUCUCAAAAUAAAUAAAUAAUUUAUCUAGAACCCUAUUUGAAGAUGCCUUUUCUAAAAUUCAGGACCUAUAAACUCAAUCCUAGCGCAUUUGAUGGUUGCCAUAUGAUCCUGUUUUUAAUCCAACCAAAUAUUGAAAAACAUUUUAGACAACGAUCUGCCAAAGUAAAUCCUUUUUUCUCCGAAAAUAUGUUGCAUCAUAUCCAAUUCUCAUCUUUGUAGUCUCCACAGUUCAAAGUUCAAGCAAUGUUUUACUGACAAUUGGUGACUUAGAAAUCUUUUUUUUUGAGAACUUCUUUUUUUGCAUUGUAAAGUGACUGAGAAACUAUGGAAGUAUUUCAUUAACCUGAGAGGUAUAACAUGGACCAUGCCUAGAAAUACUGCAGAAGUCCUAGCAUGUUGGAAUAGAGAUGGAAAUCAGUCAGGACACAAGGAGAGAUGGAAGAUUGUCCCUGCCUGCAUCUGGUGGACAAUAUGGAGUGAGAGAAAUCAGAGAUGUUUUGAGAACAAGAGCAUCCCUUUCCAAAGCAUUAAAAUGAAUUCUUUAGUGACCUUUUACUUUUGGUGUAUCCAUUCUAUUCCCAAGGAUCCGGGGGACAUCACCCUAUUCUUAGAUAGUUUACGAGGGAGAUAGGUGUUUAGAUUCUUUUUGGUAAACCCUCUAUACUUUUGAUGUAAUUACUACAGGAGUUCACUAUUGGUGUACUUCUAUGUUUAUAAUACCAGUUAACUUUCUCAAAAAAAAAUCUUAUCUUAUCUUAGGUUCAGGGAAAUGACAUCAGUUGCGCUAAACUGGUUUUAUGUUAACUUAAACAGGAAAGGUAUAUAUUGCAUGCCUUGUAGGAUGAUUUCUCAGUGAUCUUAAAAAUAAUUAAGAAAAGGGAAAAUGCAUUAGUAUGUCGCGAUCUCACCUCAUCUUAUGACAUAAAUGCUUUCUUUAUGAUAGAUUUCAAGCGCUUGGAACAAAAAUGAGCUUUGGAAUCAUACAUAGGGAUGUAUUUGGGGGAGUGGGACAAGUCAGGGUGGAGUAUUUGGGUUUUAUGUGUAGUUGGAGGUUCUUUCUCACUCUCAGAAGAGCUAUCAUCUGCAAAAAUUUUGAGUGGAUGAGGAGAUCAAAUAUUAGUUCAAAUAAUUUUUGCUUUGGAGCAUCUUGGAACAUAUGAGCGAUGGAGCUUCUGGAUCAUUAGCUUAACUUGGGAUUGUUCUCUUGGUUUCAUAAUUUUUCUGUUUGAAUCUAUAAUUUUGGAGCAUCAUGGAGCAUUUUGAGCAAUGGAGCUGGUGGAGCACAGCUCAAUUGAAGGAUUGCUCUCUUGGUUUGCUUCAGAAUUUUUCUGCUCGAUUCUGUUAUUGUCAAGUCAAAUACAGAAUGAUAUAAAUUUAUCCAUUAUAUUGUUUAAUUAUUUCUCUUCAAUGUUAACUGGAAUCUUGAAAAUUGUUUAUAAGUUACAUCUGCUUGCAGUUAUCUGUGAAUUCUCCCUUCAUUGCUGAGAAUGAGUGGCCGCUUUUCACGCUCAAUCUACGUUGGCAACCUACCAGCAGAUAUAAAGGAACUGGAAGUUGAAGAUCUAUUCUACAAGGUAUGUCACAUUCACUUAUUUAAACACUCUUAGCUGCAAAGGCUUAUUUUCUUGUGGAGAAGUUAGUUAUCAAUUGUACUUAGCUCAUAGGGCUCUGGAUUCAACCUUCGAUGCAUAAGUUAUACUUGUAAACAACAAAAAACAACGGCAUCACUUGAGAUUAUAUUGCAGAUGAAUGCAUUCCUAGGUAUGCUUGUUUUCUGAAUUUCAUUACAAUGCCAUCCCCAUCUGUAUAAUGGAUGGAAUUUUUUGAUUGAACUCUUAUUUGUAAAAUUUUAGAACAAGAAAGCCUAAGUGUAGUCUCAUAAGAGAAUCUGUUGCAGUACUAGUAUCAAUAUUAAGUUAUGGUUGAAAACAAAGUUUGAUGGUGAGAGAGGCUUCUUCUUUAGUAUCCUGCACUGCAUCCUCCUCCUUGCCUCAAUACCACCAGUAUUCUGUUUACCCGAUUGAGAGUAAACAGUUGGGAGGCAUCGAUUUGGAAGCAUUCAGCCUUGUCUUGAAAUGUAGAGUUGGUUUAGCAUACAUUCUUGCGAACACUAUACCCUGAGAUUCCUUGUAAAAGCAACACUGUAUCCUAAGAUUUGUUGUAAAAGAAACACUGUAUCCUAAGCUUAAAAAGUGCUUACUGUUUAUAAAUUCUCUCCUGUAUUGCAGUAUGGUCGUAUAUUGGACAUUGAGUUGAAGAUCCCACCUCGUCCUCCUUGCUAUUGUUUCGUGGAGGUAUGUUUAUUUAGCAUAUUUACAUGUAUACAGUUUUCUGUAGUUUGAAGUUUGACCUUCUGCUGUCGGUUGCUUUUUCUUUUUCCCUUUCUGGUUGUCAAUUGCUUCUUUUGUCUGCUGAUUAUCUGUCAUUUCCCUUCCCCGAAUUCUUUAGUUUGAAAGUUCUCGAGAUGCUGAAGAUGCCAUCAGGGGUAGAGAUGGCUACAACUUUGAUGGCUGUAGGCUGAGGGUAAGAACAAUUUCCAUCUUGAUUCUCUCAUAUUCAUAGAUACACAGAUCUAUGUAGGAAAUAUGAGCUUCCACGUGUUUGACACUUUAGAUGCAUGAUAUAGGUUGAGCUUGCUCAUGGAGGAAGAGGGCCAUCAUCUUCAAGUGAUCGUCGAGGCAGUUAUGGCAGCAGUGGUGGUGGAGGUGGAGGUGGAGGGCGUCAUGGCAUUUCUCGGCAUUCUGAUUACCGAGGUUCCACUAUAACUUACUUGAAUGUCUCUUGAAGUUUCCUGUCUUGAUUGCCGUCUAUGUAAUUGUCCCUGAUCAUAUAGAUGUCUCUUGACUUUUCUUGUCAUCUAUAUACAGUUAUUAUUCGAGGUCUUCCAUCUUCUGCUUCUUGGCAAGAUUUGAAGGUAAGUUAAGUGGGCAGGAUAUUUCCCAGUGGUGGUUUGUAUCUAUAGCAAUUGCAGUAACCUGGUGGAAAAUAUGUCAGGAUCAUAUGCGGAAAGCUGGGGAUGUGUGCUUUGCUGAGGUUUCUCGUGACAGUGAAGGUAUGACCAAGUCUUACAUCUCGAAGACAUAUCUAACUGGAUCCUUUUACUUGUGAAUUUUAAACAAUACUCAAGAAUACUGGAAUUGUGGUGAAAAAACUGCAUGUAUGCGACUCUGAUCUCCAAGGAAAUUAAGAUCAGAAAAUUUCCCGAGAAUUAGCGGGGGUUUUAUCAAGAAGGGAAGAAAGACAAUUAAUUACACUUGCAAUUUAAGGAAACAAAGUGCUACAGAGAAACCAGAAUUGAUUAUGUGAAUAAAAGAAUUGGAAAAUAUAAAUUAAGUACACAGAGUAAGAAUCUCACCAUUUGAAGACCAUAGUAAAUUUCUAAUGCAAAUGAUUAGCUCUAAGUUCUUCAGAUUUAGUGCGGAGUUCUCUUAAUGUUAAAUUUCCAAUUUCUUAUUCCUAAUUACUAUGUUAUUCAUUCAUAAAAUGUUUCUUUAAUGAUUAAUAUAUCACUUCGCCAACACUAUUAGUUUUUCCCUCCUUGAGACAGUGCACGGCUGUAAUGAGGUGUACAUCUUAGCACCUUGGCGCUUCUUAGCAAAGCGCUGAGACGGCGAGGCAGAGACCAUGCUUCAAUUCGCUUGUCUUUUGGCCUUUAUUGUGCCUUGAGCUAACCUUUGAGAAAAACUGAAGUGCAAGAUGAAAAUGCAAAUGUCGUAUUUUUAUUUUUGUAAGAUUUGAAUAUUCAGGAAAAUUGUUUUUAGGUGACAUUUGUAUUCUGCUCUUGUGCUAACUGUGUUUAUGUCUGUAGUUCUAAAUUUUCUUGUCCAUAUCAGGAACCUUUGGCUUGGUGGACUACACAAAUUAUGAAGACAUGAAAUAUGCUGUAAGUUUCUUAUCUGCCUCAUUAUCUAAAUGGGUUUUAAACUCAAUAUUGCUAUCUUCUUUUUUUUGAGGAGUUAGACCCUAUCGCACGGUUGAGUUUCCUGAACUUUCGAGUUCCUUGGUUCUUUAACCAUUGGAAGGAUGGUUAUUUGUUUUUUUUUUAAUUAAUAUCCUCUGCAAGUAAUUCUUGUGUUUUGCUAGUUUCAUUACUCAUGAAUGUUUAAUCUGCAACUCCCUUGAUGGUGGUGUUUCUUAUUUUAUUUUGUCCCUUUGGAGAAGGGCCAAGCUUGUGGUUAACAUGUUUUCUUUUCGUUCAGAUAAGAAAACUUGAUGAUACUGAGUUCAGGAAUCCUUGGACAAGAACCUACAUCCGGGUAUUUGUUUAUCCUUGUUUUUCUUUACACUACAUUUUAUUUUAGUUUUCUUCCUUCAACCCAAACUCUUGGAAAGACUUUAAUUUUAAAUCAAUGCUUAAUCUCUCAGCAUAUUCACGGGGUAUGGUGGUGAUUUCCUGAUUCGAUGGUUUUUAAUACUCCCUUAGUUCAAUUUGUCUGUCUUACUAUCCUUUUAGUCGGUUUAAAAAAUAAUGCCUCUUCUCUAAUUCUUAACUCUUUAAUUUAAACAUCCCAUGUGGCUUGUUUAAGGCCACAGAUUAAAGGUCAUUUUGGGACAUUAUACAUAUAUUUAGUUGAAGGGCGCAUCAUUCAGAAGUUUUCUGUACUUUCUUAAACUUCAUGCCAAUUCAAAUCGAGAGAAACAAAUUGAAACAGAGGGAGUAUUGGAUAUCUAGGAUUUUUACGACACAAUUAUUCAGUGAACAUGUGUACUUGAGUUAGUAGUAGCAGGAAUUUUCGUAUUUACAAUGUAUUUUUACGUUGAUGCUCAUUUCAAUUUUCUGUUCCCUUCAUAUAUAGGUAAGAGAAUACAAGGGCAGCCCUUCAAGAAGUCGUAGCCGGAGCAGAAGCAGGAGCAGAACUCCAAGGAAGAGUAGGAGGUAGAUCAAGUUGCAGAUAAUAAAUGAACUCGUUUAUGUACAUUCCUUUUUCUCUUGAUAUCUUACUGAGUGUUUGUUCAGAUCACCCGCCCGUUCAGUUUCGAGAUCACCACCGCCAAAGUCUAGAUCUGCAUCUCCUGUUAAGUCGACCAGGUAUAUGACAUUGCAUAUUACUUAAAAUUGUAUUUUUUUUUGUAGGUACUAAUAUAGCCUUUUGUUUUCUAUUUUCAAUUUAUCUUCAAGGCUUUUUUAACACUUGAGCUCAUAAUCUGUGUCCAGGUCCAGGUCCAGGUCCAGGUCAUUGUCCAGAUCAAUGUCUAGGUCGAGAUCGAGAUCGAGGUCACCGUCAAGGUCCAGAUCGGCAUCACCACAGCAGGUUAGGCUAUUUUUUGGUAUUUAAUUAAUGUUUGAUUUGCCUCUGGAUGAUCACUUGUGUUUUUGUUAGUCUUGUUGCAAAUGGUCCUGAUCAGAAUUUUGGAUGCUUCAUAUUGAACUUUUCUAAUGUUUGCAUAUUAUGGUCUUUUUCCAGGCAUGAUCAAACAGUGGCUUAUGCUGCCGCUAGAUUUGUUUAGUGGUGUUCUCCUCUUGAAAGGAGAAUCUGAAACUCUAUAUUGUUAGUUUGAUAGGAGUCUGCUAUGGACUAGAUCUGUAUUAAAGACUGGAACCUUUGGAGGUCUGUCCUAGCAAUGUGUUGUUUUAUCUGUGAGAGCUGCAGUAUCUCUGUUCUCUCGGCUGUCAUUAGUCAUUGGCCAAUCAAACAUGUAGACUUUUGCACAGUGGUUUUUCUGCUUAACUUAGUUCCGACUAUAUUAAAACAUUAGCGUGUUGAUUUCAUUUGUUGUCGAUGUGAUGCUGUAUCUGAUCGUCUCUUCUCACACUUGGUAUUUGUUUAAGCAUUUGAUAUUCCCAGUCAAAAUACCUCGCCAAAACGUAAAUAUAUUCUCUAGUGAUCAGUCUUAAAUACAAAAAAUGUAACUCGGUGCACAACAGACUCUGCGUUAGAAGGGCUGCUGGUGUCAUAUAGAUUGUAUACCCUAAAGCAAGCAUUGAUGGUGAUGUCUCAACUGUUGCUGAAAUUGUCUUGGAAAGUUCAUGCGUUAGGGUUCAGUGAUAGCUAGUUAGUACAUCAAUUAAGGGUGUCCUUUCAAUGGAAAGAGAGAACUACAGGAGUUGUUUGGUUUGAAUACAAGUUAUGCAACCAGUAAUUCUGGAUUAUUUCUUAUUGAUUGUUUGAUUUGUAGUACGAAAAAGAAUAUCCAUUGCAUACUUGUUAAAAUAAAAUCAUUUAUUUACAAAAAUAUCUUCUCCAACAAAAGUUUUUACUGCUCAGCCAAACUUCCAACAAAAGUUUUAACUGAGCUAGGGUUUUUUCGACGUAACUUCAUGUUUCAAAUUUUAUGAACCGUAAUCAGCUUAAGACGCAAUUUCGUAAAAAAUCUUUGAAACUUGAAUUCAUCCAAAGUAAGUAUUUUUGACUGAGUUAAGCUAAUAUUUAACCAUUUCACCAAAAUAGUAAAGCUAUUAUUUAAAUCAGUUCAUCAAAAUAGCAAGUAAAUCAUUACCACAAAUAAUGUUUUAUACAUUAAUUCUACUAAUUGAUUGCAUUUUGUGAAUUGCAUAUGCUUUACUAAUAUGUGCAAAAUAGUUAUAUCUCAUUUGCUUGAUCUAAAGUUUACAAAUGAUCAGCACUUGAUAUUCUCAACUAAGGACGCUACAAAUAUAAUCUAACUAGUUUUGACACUUUCACAAGUUGGGUUAUAAGAAGCAAAAUAAAUAAAUAUCGAAGAUAGUAAAAAAGUUUAAAAUGUAGCUAUUCGUGUGUAAAGCCGUUAGACCCGUAGCACCUGAAAUCCGUAACGUACUCCUCCACCCUAAUAUUUCGUAUCUAUUCGUUUUACGGUCCUCUAAAUACCAACUUAUUUUCUAUAAUCAAAACUGAUUUUUUGUUCUAAUCUUUCUUAUUAUUCUUUACAACUUUCAUCAAUUUUGUGCAAAAAUGUCAGUUGGGGAACUUGGUUGUACCUAUGCUGCGUUACUUCUCUUCGAUGAUGGAAUUCCCAUUACUGUAAUAAUCAUCAUUCCUUACCCGCUAAUUAAUUUUUCUUUUAUCAUAAUCUUUUAAUUAACAUAAUUGUAUUUGGGAUUUCAGGCAGAGAAGAUUGCUACGGUGGUGAAAGCAGCUAAUAUUUCAGUGGAGUCUUAUUGGCCUAGUCUUUUCGCCAAGCUAUUUGAGAAGAGGGACAUUGAAGAUCUUAUUUUGACUGUUGGGACAGGUGGCGGUCCAGCAGUAGCUGUUACUGCUGCCCCCGUUGGUGGAGGUGGUGCUGCUGCUGCUGCUCCCGCCGCUGAGGAGAAAAAGGUAACAAAUUUGUCAUAAAUGUUACUAGUACGUAUUUAUAUAUUAAGUAGUUUUUAUUAUUCUCUCUGUCCCAAUUUAUGACGUGUUUGUUUGAUUGUGUGGUUGCAGGAGGAGAUGAAGGAGGACAGUGACGAGGAUUUGGGAUUGAGCUUGUUUGAUUAGGAGUUUCUCUUUUAAUAUGCAAUAUAUUUGGCUUUAGGUGUUUUAAUUUCCUUACAAGGUUAAUUUGCUAAUUGCUCAUUAUUGUGUUGCUAUAAUUCUUACCAAAAGUUUUUCAUGAUGGAAUAUGUUAAGACACUAAAUUUGAUCUCUAAAUAUUACUCUCUGCUUUGGGGUUUUUGUUCUCUCAUUGUUCUGUAAUAUGAAUACAACAUUACUACAUACAUCUUUUAUGGUAAGCUCUCUACUGAGCAGUUGAUUUUGUGAGUUAUAUAUGUUGAUAGGGGUUUGGUACACUAGGCACGCACAAUGUCCUAUCUGAAUUGUUUUGUUACACAAAACCUACAACUUAUGUCCAAUAUUUUUAUGAGAACAAUGGAAGGUCAGGAUUGAAAUCUCAAUAACGAUAAAAAUACUAGGUGAUUCUUUCCAUUAUGUUACAUGUGUUAGUGCGAGGAAGCAGAUUAGUAGGUAUUAGUACGUGUAUAUAUUGCUAUUCAUCAUAGGAUUUAUUGGUAGUAUGUAACACCAGAUGAGAGCUACAUACCAUUUGGAAUAAUAUCCAUGUAUGAUGUAUAGAAUCAGAUGACUAACCUUAGCUCAUCUAAAAAUAUAUCACUUUCGUGUAUUCACUUUCAUGAUUGCUUGCCUUAUAUGCACUCUUGGGGUAUUACCAAUUACCCGUACGUUACAUUAUAUCCAGGUUUUAAAGUAACAUAUACAUUAAUUAUAUUAUUUCUGUAUUAAUUAGGAGGUGUUUCACGGAAGAUAUUAGAGAAAAUAACGCAUGUAUUAGUUUUAGUAUUAUUAAUCCAAUAUUUGGUGCAAUUUUUCAAAACAUGAUUGCCUUGAAAGUGUAUAGAACUAAGAAGAAUGUGGAGGUUUUUUUUCUUUGAAAUAAAUAUCUACUUUUAGAAAAUUACGUAAUAUUUGUUAUUUUUAAUAUAUCAAAUUAAAUAAUGUAUAAAAAAAUAAUCUGAACAUAACUAAUUUCAAUAUUAUUACUAUUCCUUUUUCAGUAGUACAAUUUUUAUACCCCUUGUCAAACAAUUCUUAAGUCUAGAUAUUGAAUAAUCAUGGUCGAAGAAGAUUCCUUCAUUCACUACUUGCUAACACACUGCAACGUCAAGAUAUUGACUCAAAACUCCUUUUAAGUCAAUCAUGGCUGUUUCAAUUCAAUAAGUUUGACUAGAAGAACCCAUAAAAGUCCAUGUGUCAUUUUAACAAAAAUGAAGUUUUAAACAAGAAAUAAACAAACUAAUAUAGUAUAAUUUAAAUAAACAUCUCUUAAAAAUUGAACACUAUAUUUAAAAAUAUAUUAUUUUUUGGCAUCAAUUAUUUUUGAAAUAGUUUUUUUUUUAAAAUCCCAUAUACAAGUUGAACAGGUUUCAAACUCAACUUCAUUGAUCACGUCAGUCCCAACUCCCACCAAUAUAGAAUUAGUCCUUAAGCUUAUCCACACUGGCCUUGCUCCAAAAAAGGGGUAAAAGCACACGUAUUCAUGUCUCAUACCACAUCAAACAUGACACGUUCAACCCUUCAUUUAUUUUUACACUAAUUUCCUACUUAAAAAAAAUUCUCCCCCUGUCCCCUUUUUCACCUAAAUUUUGAGACUCAAAAACUUUUAAAUUAUCAUGUGAAUUUGAAUAUACAAGUUUUAAAUAAUAUUUAUAUAUUUCAAAAUUACGUAAAAUUAAUUUAAAUUAGUUUUCAAAAUUGUGAUAGUGACGCAUAAAUUGGGACAGAAGAAGUGUUUGUUAUUGGGAUUAGGUAAUUUCCAGUUAAAUCCAGAAGAUAUACAUUACGUCGUUUGAAAAAAUGAAAAGUAGACCCAAUUGACACGCGUUAGUUUUCCAAGUUCGUUCGCUGACCCAAUUCAACGAAUUAGAGAAACAGUAUUGGAAAUUUCGUUUCAACUACUUUUACUUUCCAGAUCUUUCUUUAAUACGCUUCCCCUAUAUAUACUCCUGCUUCUGCUACUUCUUUUCUUCGUACUCAAGUUUUAAUUUAACAUAAACUCACUGCUUACAUCAACAAAUCAAUACUCUCUUUAUUUUCUUGUUAUUUGUUAGUAAUUUGCAAGUGAAUCGCCAACGAUGAUGAUGUCAAUUUUCAGUUCCUUUGAUGCCCUCUCUGCUGAACUUUUUGGGCAGAAAUUGAGUUUUUCUAAGCCAUCUAGUACUGACACAAAACAACAAGGGGUUGGAACUCUUGUAUCAGAUCAAAAAACCGCCGCUUCUCCGCCGGCUACUUCUUCAACCGGUAUUCUGAAGAAGACCGGAGAGGCAUCGCCGCCCCAGCAGCAGCAGAAGAGGCAGAGGUUCGCGCUGGAAUUCGACGGCGUCCACUGUUUUGAAACUAUAAUUCCCUAUUGAUUUUUGUUUUUACUAAAAUUACGAGAUUGAAAUUUCAUUUAUUCUUGUCUACCAUGAUCAUUGUCAUGACUCAUGUAUGAUGUAAAUUUUGGUGAUUGAUAUAUACGUACAAUUUAUGGAUUUUGAUAUCAGUUUGUAAUUUCUCUUUUUUCUUUCAUAGCUCUGUUUUACGUCAGAGUAAAACUCCUUGUUCAUAUAGGCUUGUUGAUACACACAUAGAAUAUCUUGAUGUCAUCAUCUGCAUACGUAUAAAAUUAAAUUUUGUUCUUACUAAACUUUGAUAUAUGUAUAUUGAUCCAUAAUAUUCUCAAAAAAUCAAAUAAAAAUAUCAUGUUACAAUUUUUUUUUAAAUUUGAAUAUAGUUUAGACCAGAAGCUUGCUUCAAUCAAUUGAAAAAUUGAAGACCUCCUUUUUAGUCAUGGUUGUUUCAGUUUGAAGGCUGUUAUAAAAAAAUAAAAAAUAUAGGGAGGACACGCUAAUAUAAUGCAUAUACAAGUAGAACAGCUUUCAAACUUAAUUCGGUGCUCCAAUUUCAGCAGUCUUUCGAUUUUUAAUGGAAGAAAGACCCACCAAUAUUGAGUUGGCUUAUCCGCAUAACACUAUGGCUGGACAAUAUCAACUACCAUGCUUUAAAAAGUUCUAUCACUCUCUUGGAUAUAAAUGUUUUUCAUAUUUUAAAUAAUAUAAUCACAAAUUGUUUUGCCAACUACAAUAAGACUCCGUUUUAUAUUUUAUAAUUUAAAAAUUAAUAAAUUUAACUAUUGAUAAAUUAAAAUAUAAAAAAUUAAAGAUAGAGAAAUCAAUAAAUAAUUAGAAUUAGUUAGUGUUCAAUUAAAUUGAGAAGAUAUACAUCAUGUCGCUCGCAAAAUAUAUGACCCAAAAUAACACGCGUUGAUAAAAUUGUUAGUUUUCAAAGUUAAUUAGCCGACCCACCAAUCUUUCAAAAAGUCUAAAAUUCAACGAAUGGGAGAAUAAUUUUAGAAAUUUCAUUUCUCUCUAUUUCCACUUUACAGAAGUUUCCAGUUUUACUCCACUUCCACUAUAUAAUACUCUUUACUUCUGCAGUUUCUUUUCUUCCUACUCAAGUUAUUUCUUACCUAAAUUAAUCAACAAAUAAAUACUACUAUUUUCUUUGCCUGUUAUUUGUUAGCAAAUUGCAAGCUAGAAGCAACAAUACACCGACGGCAACGAUAAUGAUGUCAAUUUUCAGUCCCUUUGAUGCUCUUUCUGCUGAGGUUUGUGGGCAGAAGUUGAGUUUUUCUAAAGCACUCACUACUCAUGACACGACACAACAAGGUGUUGGAACUCUUGUAACAAAUAGCCAAGCCGUUGCUUCUCCGCCGUCUACUUCUUCUCUGAACAAGGCCGGAGAGGCAUCAUCUUCGCCCCAAAAUCAGCAGAAGAGGCAGAGAUUCGCUCUGGAAUUCGACGGUGUUCACUGUUUCGAAACUAUCAUUACCUAUUGAUUUCUGCUUUUACUAAAAUUACGAGAUCGAAAACUGAUUAUGAUAUAUACAAUUUUUUGGAUUCGGAUCAUAUUCACUCUUUUGUUUUGCUUAUUGGUAAAACUUCAAUUCGUAAUUUCUCGUUUUGUUUUAUAUCUCUGAUUUAUUCUUUUCGGCGAUCGGCGAUCAAAUUUAUUUUUGCAACUGAAUUUUUAUUCCAGAAAGUUUAUUAUGACUGGUAAUAUUCAUGUGCCAGUUUCUUGCAACUUCAUUGUCUAGUAUAUUGUUAGGUGAUAAAUUGUACUCCAUCAAUUUCAUUUUGUUUUGUUUAACAACAAUAGAAUAUAAAUCUCAGGACAGAACGAGUACUCUUACUAUAUUAUCGUUCUUUUUACUCUUUUUACCUGGAGAGAACGGUAGAUAUUUAAAUUUCAGGGAUUCAUAAUGGCUAAAGUUCAAGAAUUCAAGCAUUCAAAUAUUCAAGUUUAAAGUUUGAAUAACUCAAGAUCAAGAUCAUAAAAUUCAAGUAAAAAUCAAGAUAAAGUUUAAGUUCAUCAAGAUUCAAAUUUAAGAUCGAAGAUCUUAAAUCCAAAGUACAAGUCAAGAAUAAGUUCAUCAAGAUCAAGUUUAAGAGCCCGACGAAUCAGAAUAUUCCUAGAAAUUGUAAUACACAUAUUUGAAAUCAAUUAAAUAUUAUUGUUGCGAUAUUUUUUUUUUUAUCUUGAUUAUUGUUUCUAAACACAAAAUUUAUUGUCUACAAAUUCUAGCAACUCAGUGGGAUAUCAACUAAAAUUCGUGUCAAGAAAAUAAUAAUCAAAAUCGAAAAAUAUCACAACAAUUAUAUUACAAUCUCUAUGAAUCCUCUAAUUCAUCUUUUCAAGGUUUGUAAGCUUGAUCUUGAAUUUUUAUGAACUUUUUACUUGACUUGUACUUUGGAUCCAAGGGUCUUCGAGCUUGAUCUUGAAUCUUGGUGAGUUUGAACUAGAUCUUUAUCUUGAUUUGUAUUUGAAUCAAGAGAGUUUGAACUUGUUCUUGAACCUGAUUGUCUUGAUCUUGAGUUGUUCUUGAAUUUGAAUGAUUGAGUGUGUGAUUCUUGAACUUGUAGCUUAUAAAAAAAUCUAAAUUUUGGUGUUUUCAUGAUCGUAAUUCUUGAACUUGUAGCUUAUAAAAAAAUUUAAAUUUUGGUGUUUUCAUGAUCGUUUUGUGAAUAUUCAAGAGUUAUGGAAUAUUCGAAAUAUUGAUCUUUAUUAAUACUCAAGUGCAUAUGGGAUAUUCGACAUACCUUUUCAAAAAAAUAUAAUACUUUUCAUAUAGACAUUUUUAUAUAAGCAUAAAUCAUGGUUUAAGGUUGAGUAGCCUAUAAAAACUCUAAUUGGAGUUGAAUAUAUUUUGUAAAAUCUUAACUAAAAUUAAACACGUCUAACAAGAUCCACAAAAUUUUAAUAUCUACAAUAACUAUAUCUACAAGAACGAUGAGCAUACAUGUUUUAUAAUAUGUAUGGCUAUAAUUUACACGAAUUAAGCAUAUGAGUAUACAUGUUAUAAUAUGUAUGGCUAUAAUACACUCGAAUUAAGAAUAUGAGUAUAUUGAAUUAUUGAUAGAGAAAAAUUGCAGCGAAAAUAAUCCUUCCACAAGCUUAUCCGCAUAACACUGGCUUCCGAAAAAAGGGGUAAAAGGACACGCAUCAUGCACAAAUAAGACGAAACAUGACAUGUUCAAUGUUAUGUCCAAUGUGUAUUUCUUUUUAAUAUUUUUUUAAUAUUAACUGAAAUUAUAUUCCUUCCGUAUCAAUUUAAUUUGAUCAUUUUUUUUAGUUUUAUAUAUAUAUAUAUAUAUAUAUAUAUAAAAUAAUAAUGAGAAGAAAGUAGGGAGAAGGGGGAAGUUAGGGAGAAGACUUAUAAUUUCUCCGGAGGGAUAAUUAUACAAAAUUCAUCUAUUUAAAAGGGAAAAUUGACUUGGUCUCAAAGUUGAGGUUCCUAAAUUUUCUAUAACGGAUAGACAUUCACUAUAUUUAUAACACAUUCCUCCUUAAUAUCUAAUUUGUAGAUGAUGUGCCUCGUUAAAAAUCCUACUAAAAAACACUUUAAAAAAAAUACAAAAAGCUCUAGUGAAGGAAAAUAGUACACGUAUCUAAUAAUACGCAUCUAGGCUGCCUGAUUAAAAACCUUACAAGGAAAAUCCAGUGGGAUAAAACCUCGUAAGGAAAAAGAGUACAACGGGUAUUAACUCCCCCUAAUGAGAACAUCAAUCUAGAGACUUGAAUCUUCGCCUUCCAAGCUUGUGCACCAUCUUCUUGAAAGUUGUAGUUGUUAGAGACUUGAUGAAAAAAUCAGCCACAUUGUCACUCGAACGAAUUUGUUGCACGUUGAUAUCACCAUUCUUUUGGAGCACAUGUGUGUAGAAAAGGCUUGACGAAAUGUGUUUCGAACUAUCUUCUUUUAUGAAUCAUCCUUCAGGAUCAAAGAAUUUUGCAAGUUCCUCACUUCAAUUUCUUUAAGCAAAUAAUUUAUUGCCUUUUGAAAAUUCAAGAGUUUAAUUCGAGUUAUCAACUUGCAUAACAAUAUGAAAAAUUCUUGCUUGUGAUCUAUAUGAGGAUUAUAAACAAGUAUUUCAAAAACAUAUAUUAAGACUAUUAAGUAUCUAAAGUACCCACUAGGUGGGUGAAUAACUGAAUAUGUCCACAAAUAUCCUUAUGUAUACGCUAUUAGAACGCAUGGGACUCAAUCUCAACUUUUGUUUGUGAUGGUCUCACAAUUAACUUACCCUGCUAACAAGGAGUACAAAAAAAUUCACCAUUUAAAAGAAUCAUUAGGUUCUUUAAUGGAUGUCUAUUUGAAUUUUCUAUAAUUCGUCUCAUCAUUAUAGACUCAAAAUGUUUCAGGCGAUUAAAGUAUUGGAAUCAGUAAACUUUUGAUUUACUAUAGAAUGUGCCUCAAUUGCACUAAUUCUUGUUCAAUACAAACCAAAAGAUAAAGUAAGGAAUUUUUCUAUAACACAUGUCUGCUUAGAGACAUUCUUGGUUAUACCACAUCCAUAACAAGGGUCGCGACCUUUUUCACAACUAGCAUGGUUGGUAUACACCUCAUCACUUCAACGAAUGCAUCUAUAUUUUUAGCAUUUAUCAAAAGUUUCCAUUCAUCUUGACUGGAAUACAAUCAGAGUAUAUCAAAUUAUGAUAACUUAGUACCUCAUUCCACAUUCAUGUGCAUUAUUCAAUCACUUGUGUUUUUUCAGACGUAUUAUGCACUGCAGCUACAUUCACUUUAGGGAAUUGAGCGAUUUCAAUAGAAUAGGUUUCAUGACUAAUCUUCAUAAAAAACACAUUAUUUGGCCUUGGUCAUCAUUAUAUCAUCAAUAUGGUGCAUUGCGACUCAAACUCAACAUCUUAUCCAUGUAAAGGGAUGUUAUGCCAUAAAUAAAUUGAUGGGACUUAAAUCCAACAUCUUUAAUCACGGUGCACCAAUACAAUAACAUGAUGUCUUACCCUCUUGGUGUGAUUUGACUGAAUCCAAUCGUCUUGACCUCUUAGUGCAAUUGGACAUAAAUCCAUCGUCUUAUCCUUUUAGUGCAAUGAAACUUGAAUCCAUCAUCUUACCCUUAACCAAUAAUAUAAUAAGCAAAAGUGCAUAGUGCUCACCUUCGAGACUUAAGCAAUAUAAUCAUUUAUGGUGGUAAUAAUUUUGUAAACAACAAUUUGCAAAAUCAUACGUACAAAAAGAUAAAUCAAUUACAUCAGAGUUCAAAUUAAAUAGCAGCAAUAAUACUAAUGCAAGUAAGAAUAUGGUGGCCCCGUUGUUGUGCACGCAGAGAAGUUGUAUACUAAAAUUAGUAGUAGUAUAAAUUUUAAAUCAUUAGGUCUAUUAACAUCCGAUUAGCAAUAUUCUCGAAAAAGAAAAUCGGGCAGCGUGGUCAUUCGAGAUUUGUAACACUACGUUGCUACAAGUAAUCAACGAGAGGCAGCACCACAGGUUAUACAUAAAAUUUGUUUCAGACCAGCCACGUAAAUUCAGUUUAGAAUACAUAUAUUAUAUAAACUUUACAUAUAUACAUCUUGCAUCCAAAAAAACUACGAUGAGACCAAUCCAUAAAAAUAAAAAAACACCUACCAUUAACUUUUAAUGGACAAUGAGCAAUUUAUGUUGAUAACAUAUUAUGAAAUCAUGAGAAGAAAGUAGAGAGAAAAGAGAACGCUUAUAAUUGUGAUUUUACAAUGAAGAAAAUGCACGGCAGACAUUCACUAUAUUUAUAACAUAUUAAAAUUUUUGAAUUAUAACUUUUCACUAAAAAAUAAAAUAAAAAUCCAAACUAUACGCGUUAAUAGGAGAUUGUGAAUUAUAGGAAAAUUCGUUUCUCCCAUCUCCACUUCCACAUCUUACCGAUCCUAAUUGGGAAAGGAAUUCCCAAUUGUUUCCUUUCCCAACUCCCCAGGUAUAUUCCUACUUUUGUAGUUUUGGUUUUUCCUAAUCAAGGAUUAUUAUUGCAUAUAAACCAAUUGACAAAUCAAUGCUUGGUUUCAAAUUAUUUGUUAAUUUGCAAGUUAGAUCCAAAAGAAAACACCAACACGAUGAUGUCAAUUUUCAGUUCUUUUGAUGCUCUCUCCGCUGAAAUUUUGGGCCAAAAAGUGAACCACUCUUGGGCACCGCCCACUUCUGACAACAAACAACAACAAGGUGUGGGCCCUCUUGUAUCCGAUCGCAAGAUCGCCGUUUCUCCACCGUCUACUUCCGCAACCGGUAAACUGAACAAGACAGAAGAGGCGGCGCCGCCGUCAUCAUCUUCAAAAUCUCCGUCGCGCCCACGGAGGCCAAAGUUUGCACCGGAAUUGGAUGGGGUCUACUGUUUUGAAACAAUUCCUCCGUAUUGAUUUUUUUUACAUAAACACCAAAAAGAUUGAAAUUCUUUAUUCUUGUCAAUUGUCAAUUGUCAUGAUAUUAUUGAUUAUAUAUAAUUUGCUUAACUGAAAAACCUUCAAUUCGUGAUUUCUCUUUUUUGUUUCAUGUCUCUUUUUAAAAAUCUUUUCGGUGAUUCAUAUCAAAUACAAUUAACAAGUUCCACAACUGAUGAUUUUAGAAACUAUUUGUAAGAUGAAUAUAUAAGUAAAUUACUGCUUAUUUCAAAGAAUUGUUUUUAAAAGUGUGCCUUUUAAAUUAGUCUUCAAAGAUGUGUUAAAGAAGCUAAAUUUUUUCUUGGAGAAGUGGUACAGUAAAUGAAAGGAUGUGCUAGCUCUUUCUUGAAAGUAUGUUCCAUGUGGCAAGAUAAUGUGAUGAGCUUCUCCUAGGCCAAGAAUAACUAACGGAUGUUAAUUAAUUUGUUGAUUCACGUAUUUUAUUUAAUUUUGAAAAAUAUUUUGUAUUGUUAAAAUAGUUUUUUAAGAUAAUGCCUAGUACAACUCAAGAUGAUGCCUGGACCAUUCAUGGCGCCCUAUUUAUUGCAACUUCAUUGUUUAGUACUUCCAUAGUUAUAUAUUAGUUGAUCAUUUUACUCAAAAUAGUUGUCUCAUAUUAAUUUAUCACCUUACUAAUAUGCGGGUAAAAAGAAAAAUGAUCAAUCAAUAUGGAACGAAGAGAGUAGCGUAUGUGUUAGAGUGGGAAAAAGUCUCACAUUGAUUGGGAAAUGAACUGGUGGUCUCCUUAUAUGAACUUAGACAAUCAUCCCCUCAUGAGCUAGCUUUUGGGGUUGAGUUAGACUCAUGUCUCAUAUCUUUACAUGGUAUCAGAGCCAGAUCCAUCCCCGUUUGAACUCUCGAUCCACGCUCCGAUCGGGCAUGGGCAUGAGGGGAGUGUUAAAGUGGGUAAAAGUCCCACAUUGGUUGGGAAAUGGACUGGUGGUCUCCUUGUAUGAACUUGGACAAUCUCCCUCAUGAGCUAGCUUUCGGGGUGUGAGUUAGGCACAAGAAUUAAUUUAACAUGGUAUCAGAGCCAGGUCCAUCCCUGUUUGGGCUCCCGGUCCACACUCCAGUCUGUCAGACUAGGCGUUAGAGUGGAUAAAAGUUCCACAUUGGUUUGGGAAUGAACUGGUGGUCUCCUUAUAUGAACUUGGGCAAUCCUCCUGUCAUGAGCUAACUUUUGGAGUUGAGUUAGGCCCGGGUGUCAUAUCUUUACCGUAUGUUACGUUAGGAAUACAUAUAUUUAUUAUAUUUAACAAGCACAUGUGUUAUGAACCAAGUCCAACCCAAUAUCGAUAUCAAGGUCACACAUGUAGUUAUUGGGCUGACAAGAGCUAUUGGGCCUAAAGCAUCCAAGCUCCAAAGAGUAAGGUAAGGUAUGCAGCAAUAGGAGGUGAUGUCUGUUCACGAAAGAAAAUAGUUGAGCAUGCUGUAUCUGCUUAUUUAGCAUGUCUACAAGGCUGCAUCAAGACUAUGGCAGACUUUGGUUUCAUCUUUGCACCACUAUCACAACUCUUUACACAAACUCAAUUCCACCACUAUUACUCGAACCUUGAGGACAAGGUUCUUAUUGAGGACGAGAGUAUUGUUAUGAACCAACUCCAACCCAAUAUCGAUAUUAAGGUCACACAUGUAGUUAUUGGGCUGACAAGAGCUAUUGGGCCUAAAGCAAGCAAUAGGAGGUGAUGUCUGUUCACGAAAGAAAAUAGUUGAGCAUGCUGUAUCUGCUUAUUUAGCAUGUCUACAAGGCUGCAUCAAGACUAUGGCAGACUUUGGUUUCAUCUUUGCACCACUAUCACAACUCUUUACACAAACUCAAUUCCACCACUAUUACUCGAACCUUGAGGACAAGGUUCUUAUUGAGGACGAGAGUAUUGUUAUGAACCAACUCCAACCCAAUAUCGAUAUUAAGGUCACACAUGUAGUUAUUGGGCUGACAAGAGCUAUUGGGCCGAAAGCAAGCAAUAGGUCCAAUUUUAUUUGGGAUCCAGGCCCAUUUACACUUUGUUAAAAAGGACUAGGAGUUAGAAGAAUGGGGAUGAAAAACUAUUAUGUGAAGCUUUGGCUUUCUGAUCCUCUCAUCUCCUUUCUAUGGUCUUGUAUCUCAUCCCUUUCUGGUUACGUCUUUCUCGAUUUAUCUCUCCUUAGUUAGUGUAUUAUUACUUUGUUGUGCGUAUUCUACAUUAUAACUCAUAUUCAGUGAUUAAUAUAUAUAAGAGUGCUUCUGCUGGAAUUGAGUUUGUUACAACAUGUCAGUUCUUUUUUAAUAGAUUUAGUUGGGUAAGUUUCUUAGGAGCAACGAUAAAUUAAGUUUUAAGCAAAAUUUCGAUUAGUUGUUGUCGAAAAUUGAAACUUUGAAAAGCAUUUUUCAAACAAAACCUCGUGAAAGCUACAAGAUUGAAAUUGUAGGCAGCUAAAUUUUGAGCAAUUAGCGCUAAAUCAAAUUGUAGCCAUGUUACUCUGAUGUAAAUUCAAGAGAUUGACAUACUACAAUAAUACAAUCAUGUGGAAAAUCAACAUUGAAUUUAAGCGAAAGUGCUGGACAAAUAUUGACUAGAAAUGAGUGUUGGUCCACAAUAGCCUUAAGAUAUUCUUACAUGGUGUGAUAUUGUCUGCUUUGAAUCAAAUUCGUAUAAAAAAAUCACGUCAUUUAGAAAAUUUUACAAUUUAUAUAUACCGGUUAUAGAGGAUGAUGAUCAACUAGUUGUUGGCCUUUAAAGCACUGCAAUUGGUAGUUUCUGUUUUUUAGCUAACAUAAUUUGUGGGUUAAUUGCAACUAGCCAACUACUUGGUUGAAUUAGUGGAGUGUGCCAACUAAAUUGUGAGGGUCGAGGAAAAUCCCAACUUGGACCAUUACGUGUAUUUUCUAACAAACAGGCCAAAUCAAAGCACCUAGCACGCCUUAAUUUGCCAAAGUCUAUAAUUGCUAGCUAUUUGAAGUUUGGUUGACUGCUUAAUCCAUAAUUCCAUAUGCAAAUUGAACAGCUUUGAGACUUCAAUUCAUUGACCAGGUCAACAAUCCUUUGAUUUUGUUAUCAAAGAAAGUCCACUAAUAUUGAUUGGGUAUUUGGAUCCCAAACCUAUUAGAUUAUUUUUUGGGUAUGUACAUCCUAAAAAUAUACAGUGAGAGAGACAAUGAAUGGACUAUAGCAAGUGGCUUGUUGCAAAAUGGGGUAAUAGAUGCAAAAGACACGAAUAGGCGUAUGCUUAAACCACGGGAAGCAAGACACGUUUCACCAUUAUACGAACUAAUUUCCUAUUAGGAAUAACCAUUAACAACUACUCUUAUCACUUGUUCUCAUGAUAGUCCGAUACAUUAAGUAUUCCGCUUUUACAUAUAAUUUUAAAAAGUGUCCAACUUUAAAUUUUGUGAUAUAAACCGUUUAUCUUAAUAUAAAUAUAUAGUAAUUGAUUCCACGAAUUUUGUCCAAUACAAGUAUUCUAAACUAUAUUUGUGACUUAUAUAAGAGAAUUUAACUAGUUAAAUUGUGUGUCUAAUAAAAAGCUUCCACGUAAUGGAAUUAGGCAGCUUCCCAUUUAAUCCGGAAGGAAAAAUAUCAUGUCGUUCCAAAAAUAGAAGACUCGCGAGUCGUGACGCGUUCAUAAGAUAGUGGCCAUUUUAAAAUAGUGGUGAAAAAAUUAGUUCAUUAAAUUUAAAUUGAUUACUGAUUUAUUCAUUUGUUAAUUUAGUCUAUUUUAAUUUAAUUUAUUAAAAUUUAAAUUGAUAUUUAACCUAAAUUGAUCUAAGAACAAUCUCAUCAAAAUAUUUUUUAAAAGAUAAUUUUUUAUUUGAUAAUAAAGAAAAAUACUGUUAAUAUUUUAGUAGAUACUAAAAAAUUAUAAAAGAAGAAAUAAAGCAAUUAAAAGCAUAGUAAAAAUUGAACAAGUUAAAUUUUGAUCUGCAUUUUAUUUUAUUUAAACUCAAUUUAUUCCAAACCAAGUAACUUAUAACAAAUUUUUGCAUGAGUUAUCCCAAUUUCGUGGUGAUCUGUAAUUUUUAAUUCUACGCUAAAUUAAUUAAAUAAUAUGAUUAAAGUAUGCAUAACUAUGACCUGAUUUCGCAUGCAAAACUUCUGAAAAUAGCUCAAACUCAAUUCAACCAAUCCUGCCGUCCUUCUAAGUCCCAAAAUUGCGAUUUUUUUAAAAUUAAAAACACUUAUUUUGAGAUAAAAUAUUUUUUUUGGGGGAAGAAAUUAAGGUAUUUGGCUAAUUAGUAAAACUGUUUUUAAUUAGAAAUAUAAACAGUUUUUCUGUUUUUGAGAAGAAGCUAAAAAAAAUCUACUUCUUAUAAAAAGCAGAAACCAAAAUUUAUUUUUUUCAAAAUCAAAUUAUCCUUGCCAUUUAUACAUAUUUACCCAUGUGUCUCUUAUAUUUAUUUAUUUUUAUGGUGAAUUUUCAUAUGUGUUAAGUAUUCCGCUUUUACAUAUAAUUUUAAAAAGUGUCCAACUUUAAAUUUUGUGAUAUAAACCGUUUAUCUUAAUAUAAAUAUAUAGUAAUUGAUUCCACGAAUUUUGUCCAAUACAAGUAUUCUAAACUAUAUUUGUGACUUAUAUAAGAGAAUUUAACUAGUUAAAUUGUGUGUCUAAUAAAAAGCUUCCACGUAAUGGAAUUAGGCAGCUUCCCAUUUAAUCCGGAAGGAAAAAUAUCAUGUCGUUCCAAAAAUAGAAGACUCGCGAGUCGUGACGCGUUCAUAAGAUAGUGGCCAUUUUAAAAUAGUGGUGAAAAAAUUAGUUCAUUAAAUUUAAAUUGAUUACUGAUUUAUUCAUUUGUUAAUUUAGUCUAUUUUAAUUUAAUUUAUUAAAAUUUAAAUUGAUAUUUAACCUAAAUUGAUCUAAGAACAAUCUCAUCAAAAUAUUUUUUAAAAGAUAAUUUUUUAUUUGAUAAUAAAGAAAAAUACUGUUAAUAUUUUAGUAGAUACUAAAAAAUUAUAAAAGAAGAAAUAAAGCAAUUAAAAGCAUAGUAAAAAUUGAACAAGUUAAAUUUUGAUCUGCAUUUUAUUUUAUUUAAACUCAAUUUAUUCCAAACCAAGUAACUUAUAACAAAUUUUUGCAUGAGUUAUCCCAAUUUCGUGGUGAUCUGUAAUUUUUAAUUCUACGCUAAAUUAAUUAAAUAAUAUGAUUAAAGUAUGCAUAACUAUGACCUGAUUUCGCAUGCAAAACUUCUGAAAAUAGCUCAAACUCAAUUCAACCAAUCCUGCCGUCCUUCUAAGUCCCAAAAUUGCGAUUUUUUUAAAAUUAAAAACACUUAUUUUGAGAUAAAAUAUUUUUUUUGGGGGAAGAAAUUAAGGUAUUUGGCUAAUUAGUAAAACUGUUUUUAAUUAGAAAUAUAAACAGUUUUUCUGUUUUUGAGAAGAAGCUAAAAAAAAUCUACUUCUUAUAAAAAGCAGAAACCAAAAUUUAUUUUUUUCAAAAUCAAAUUAUCCUUGCCAUUUAUACAUAUUUACCCAUGUGUCUCUUAUAUUUAUUUAUUUUUAUGGUGAAUUUUCAUAUGUGGUGAUUUAAUUUGUGGAAUGAUUUUUAAAUUUAUUUUGUUUGAUAUUUUUAAUUAUAUUUAAAUUAUUAUGUUAAUAUUAUAUUAAUAUUUAAUUUUUAUUUUUAUUUAUCUUUUUACAAUAUUCAUUGAAAAUUUGAAUAUGUACAUUUUAAUUUAACAAAAAUAAUUUUAUAAUAAAUAUUUAAAAUAUUUUUUUAAAUAAAAUAAUCUUAGUAUUAGAAGUGCAUUGCUUGUCAUUUUUCGUAAUUUGACUAUCAAAAAUACUUUUUUUUUUAAAUGAUUAGCCAAACACAAUAUGCUUAUCAAAAAUAUUUUUUUCAAAUAAAUUAAUCAAAUACAAAUUAUUAUUUUUCAAAACCAUUUUAUGAAAAGCUAUUUUUAAAAUAUAUUUAAAAUAUAAACCCUUUUUAUGGGUAAUUCCAAAAGACUAAUUCCACCAAAUACUACCAAUUAUACUUGGAAAGGGAAUUAACGGCAACUUGCUUUCUCCUCUUUCCACUUUUGUUCCCCAAUUUUACUUCGGCAACACGGAUUCCAAAAUUUAACCCCUCCCUUAUUAAAUACAUCUACUUCUCCAACUUCUUUUCUUCAUUCUCAAGUUUUUACAUCGCUUACGCUUCUUACAUAAACCAAAUCCAAUACAUUUUCAUCUUGUUAUUUGUUUACCCAAUUAGAAGAAAAAAAUAGCAACAAAGAUGAUGAUGUCAAUUUUCAGUUCCUUUGAUGCUCUCUCCGCUGAGAUCUUUGGCCUAAAGGUAAGCCGUUCUUGGGCACCGGCCUCUUCUGACAACAAACAACAACAAGGUCUGGCUCCUCUUGUAUCCGAUCGCAAGACCGCCGCUUCUCCGCCGUCUACUUCCUCACCUGGUGAACUGAACAAGGCCGGAGAGGCAGCGGCGCCGUCAUCUUCAAAAUCGCCGUCGCGUCCACAGCAGCAAAGGAGGAGGCUGAGGUUUGCACCGGAAUUGGAUGGGGUCCACUGUUUCGAAACAAUUCUUCCCUAUUGAUUUUUACAUAAAGUCUAAAAGAUUGAAAUUAUUUAUUCUUGUCUGACUGUAACUAAUUAGCCCACGGCCAUCAUGGAGGUUGAUACAAUUUAGUUGUAUUAAAUUCUUUUAUUUCUUGUUUGAACAACUUCCAUCCACAUUUCUUUCUUUAAAUCUGUUUCCCAUCUUUUCUAGAGGAAGAAACAAAGAGAUUGAAAAAGCAGGGAAUAUGCUGUAUGUUUCGUCUAGUGCACGUUAAUGUAAUUCCACUAUUUUACCCCUUUCUUCGAGUUGAAAUUACGAUGUGAUAAUUCUUUACUUUUCUCGUCUGUAUCCCUUAGCUUUGGACUUCUAUUCUUUUUGGCUCAUUUUUUGUUUUCCGGUGGAUAUCCAUGUUGAAAUCCAACCAAAUUCAAAUUUAACAAACUCUUUUCCCAGGACAACAGAUGCGACUAUAAAGGCCGGACUAGUAAGCUUGCGACUAUAAAGGGGGGUAGUAAGCUCUCUACAAUAUGACUCACAUGAACAGUAGUCAUAUGGUAAGAACUUCUUGUGGACAGUCUAGUGAUUAAGAAUCAAAGGCCUGAGUAAAGCAGAUGAUAAUCUGUGCCGCGCUUGUAUUGAUCAAUAAUACUCAGCUUGUGUUACACUUAAAAGUCAUUGCUUUUAUCGAUCACUAACACUACGCUAAAAGGGGGGGAUGGAAUAGGUUAUGUACAACAAAAUCAUCGCACUAAUGAAAUUAUCCGUCAUGGCCUUGGACUUGCUUUUUUCCCUAUAUUUCCAAACCUUUUCGCUACAUUAAACAAAAAUGUCUUGGGUAUGAUUCCUUGGUCAAGAGUACAAGCAACAACCAAAGCUCCGCCAAUGAUAAGUAGCUUUGGUAUGUUUAUACUGCCCUCACGUUUUGCAGGUAAAAUCUCUAUGUCAGUCCCUGAUGAUUCCUCAUUCCCAUCCGUUGACUUCAAGUAUUCUGGAUCAAUUUUCGUAUUUACUUGGGCCAUCAAAGCACAGUGAGAGAUCUUCGCGUUAGAUGCUCUUGAUUUCUGGUAGGAACGAAGUCCACGUUCAAUCUUUCUUACAGCCCCCCACAUACCUUGCCUUACCCCAAAUUUUGCGAUUUCCCAUGGGAUGCCCAUAUCUUCGUGAUGGAAGAGAAGCACCUCACAUGCAGUCAGCUGGCCAUUUCCUUCCCUUGAUUCCACUGUUUCAUGCAGUACAGAUGGAAUUCAGAGUCAGAUGAUCAAGACUUUUAAGUCUAAAUCUUGUGAGCGACACUUGCAGAUAAGUUGAUAAGGAAUUGCAGGAAAUUCAUUCCCAGUAGGUCAAUGUGCAUGCAUUGUUAAGAAAUUGAACAGGAUGAUGCCAGUCAAGCUAAUGCACAUGUCUAUUCUAAUUCAUAGAUAUGCUAGCUAGUUGGGAAAGCAAAAGCAUGGUAAGUUAAUUUCCCAACCUGGAAAAGAAAAAGGAAUUCAAAGAAGGAAGUAAGGUCAUACCAGCUUGAAUGAACCAACUUGAAUAGUACAGGUCAACACGUCUUGGUUUGUCCUUCCUGGGAAUAGUAGGACAUGGCACUCCCUGAUUAACAAAUCACAAGGAAAAUCAUAAUUAGAGGGGACCUCCAAAUAUAGGAAAAUCAGCUCAGAGUCAAAUGGAAGAGGAUUAAUAAACAAGGGUGUAGCAAUUCAUUGGUUUCUUUCCAUUAAUUUGUGGCGUUGGGUGGGGUGAAGGGGAUGGUUAAAUGUUUUCAGGUGGUCCGUUAACUGUGGCAUAGAAGGAGAAUACUUUUGAUGUUUCAGGCCUCUCAAGCUCUGCCCAUCCUCCAUUUCUCUAAUUGAAGUCCAAAGAAGGAUUUUGUGGAAGUUAGAGAAUCCCAAGCAAGUAAACUGACAUCAACUACACUCUUCACAGAACUAUUUUUUUAAUAUUAUGUUUCAAAAAGAAUCAUUGUCUUGUGGCUCCUUGUUACUGUAUCUAGGACCAGCUUAAGCGUCGGUGCCACAAUAGGUAUGAUCUCACAACUAGAUAACCUGACAAUUGUGCUGCCUAGAUCAAAUAGGAAUUUCCACAAGAGAUGCCAUCCACUAAACAACUCCAAGGUCUUUGAAUGACUCAAAGUUGCAUCAUGGACUCUGCACCUAAUGAUAUCAGCCAACAAUUCUACUAACAUAUUCAUCCAUUUCACAGGCCCUAGACCGAUUCAUUUAUGGAAGAACUCAAGCAAACAGCACGUCAUCAAUCAGACAAAUAGGCAGUGUGUAAGCAUAACAUGAGACCAACUUAAACAUAGUAAUUUGCCACCUUAUCGGCUGAAUACUUGAAGAAAUGAAGAGUCAGAACGAGAAAAACAUCUAAAUCAAAAGAAAAAAGGAUCGGCUAUAUGAAACCAUGUUGCUCCGUUUAAGCUCAUUUGAAUACAAUAUUAUACAAAAUAAGAACAAAAGAAGGGAAACUACUUGAAGUUCUGUACCUUUGUUACACAAUAAUAUGACCUUCCUGACUCCCAUAUUCGACGAGCAAAUAUAUAUUCUCUGUCGCUGCAGAAAAACGGGAACUGCACAACAAGUAUCCAAAUGAAUUAACUACUUAUUAGCUAAACAAAAUACCGAGUUUACAAAAGAGUACAUUGCAUAUUCUUACUUUUCGAACCCAGUGUACUACCAUCAUUCCUGUUGUGGGGCACUCUUCUAUCGUUUCAGCAUGUACAAGCAUGUCAUCCCACUUCACUCGAAACUCAUCAUCCCAAAAGAAAUCCCUCAAUAAUUCAGGUGUUGCGUCCUCAUACACAGUUCGGCUGCAAUAUUGAGGGGGACCAGUCUAGAAAAACAACAAGGAAAAAUCAAUAAGCAAGCCAGGCAAAGGGGAAAAGAUAUAGCAAUACAUUAGACUAUAGGCUUUACUACCUCCGGAUGACGCUGCCACGCUUGAUAGCUCAUAUUAGGGGUGGAAUGAUCCAUCAUGUGUUUCCACGUAGGGCCUCCAUCUUUCCUCUCAACAAGAUGCCACAAAUGAUCCAAAUCUUCAUCUGAUAUUGGUAAAGUAUUCAGCCUCGAUGGACUAAGACAGAAAAAGGGAAAACAGUGUGAGUAGUGAGUAGUGACCCCAUCCAAUCAAGAUGAAACCAAAAUUAUUGAAAAAUUCUCGAACUUGAACAACCAGAGUCAGCAUUGUAUUGUAUUGCUGGUUUGAAUGCAAUGUUUGUUUCGAUUGUUACUUAAAUUUUACUAUAUCGUAUUGUUAAAUCCAUGUUCCAUAACAACAAAAAGUAUGUAACAACCGAUUUGGUGUUAUCGCCUCAUUACCUAUCUUUUUCUUCUCAUAUUAUCUUUGCUUGUUAUCUAAUAAUCCUAUUGUAGAUUUGUCCAUCAUAUUGCUCAUGUGUGACACUAUUUAACAAGAACCGAUACAAUCUAUCCAAACAUUGUAUUCAUCAAGACAAUACAAUACAUUAAGCAACAAUAUGUAACAACCACCCAAACAAAGUAUAACAAAGCAUAAACUUUUAUAUUUGAAAUAAUGAAUAGAGCUUACCCACUGUCAAAUUGUUCAAUCUCUGAGCCAGCAUCCGCAUAAGAAGCAAAACUAGGGGUAGGAGCCUCGGAGGACUGAAAACCCAGGGGUUUGGAGGUAGAAGGAACCGAAGCAGAGGGGGAAGAAGGUACUGAAAAAUCAAAUUUACAAUUCUUCCAUGCAGCCCAUUUAGGUUUCCAAAUCCAUCCCACCGUAAUACCCACAAGAAAAGCAAUCCAAACAGGACCAAGAAACACCAUAAUCUCUACAAAUACUGCACCUAUGGUGGGUCUUUCAAGAAUCUCCAAAAAUUCCUCAACUAACACCAUCCUACAUCUAUAUCAAAUUAACCAAAAAAAAAUAAAAUACAAGCGAUAAAUCGAUUACCCAGAAAGGUGAAAGAAGAUGAAUAUUUUGAUAUGGAUAAAAUAGAAAAGGAGAUGAAAGGUAAUCUAUGGUGGUGAGGAAUUUAUUGUUGUGUGAAGAUACUUGAGUAAAGGAUUAAAUGCGAGAAAGAAGGAAGGAUGAUUUGGUUGUUUGGAUAAGAAGAAGAUAGGAUAAUGGUCAUCAGCAAAAUAGUGGACUGUUGGUGCGUUAAGAGUGGAAAUCUCGAGGGGAAUCGGAUGGGGACAAAACGACGGAGCAUCCUAUGUCGGUGUUUUCUGUUGUAGAAAACGCCGCAGUGUGAGGCCAAUUGAUGCUCUUUCUACACCUGUGUCAUAUCCUUACAUUUCUACUCCCUUUAUUUUUCAAUUGGUUUUUGGUAGUUGGUACUAUUACUUUUUCGAAAAAAUAAAAAAUGGUAGGUGUUUGGUGUUUGGAGUUUGGACAUAGAACUUGGAAGCAUGAUUUCAAGUUUUGAUUUUAAAUAGUUUUUUUAUUUAUGAAAUUUGUAUAAAAUUUCCUAUUCAAACAAUCAUGAUUUUAGAUUUUUAAAAAUUUUAUUUAUAAAUUUAUAUUUGACAUGAAUAGAUUGUCGUAUUAGGUGAGGAUUUUAUUAGAGGGUAGCUAGUGACUACUACGGGUUGAAUAUUGAAUUAGUAAUUUUUUGUAAAAUCAUGUGCAUUUAAUAGUUUGUAAAAUCACAACUAUGAUGUGUGUACACUCUUUCUUUUGUUUAAAGAUUAUGGUGUAUGACCGUCCAAAUUGAAAAACAAUUUCACUGUGGUAAAUUAAUAUUAGGUUAAAAGUUAAGGUUAAAGAUUAAAAUUUAUUAUUGUAUAAAUUAAUUUAUUUCAACCAUGACAUUCACCAUCUACUUCUCCACAUUCUUAGUUAUUGUCUCGUUUCUAUCGUGAUAUCGAUAUCUCGACUUGAAAGGGUAGAAUUUAGAGUUUCCAAGAAGUAACCUAAAAAUAUAUUUUAAAAAAUUAAAAUUAAUGUUUCGGACCAUCUACUUCCCCACAUUCAUAGCUAUUGUCUCUCAUCUAUCGUGAUAUCGAUAUCUCGAUUUGAAAGGGUAGAAUUUAGAGUUUUCAAGAAGUAAACUAAAAAUAUAUUUUAAAAAAUUUAAAAUUAAUGUUUUGGCAAAAAAAGUUAUUAUAUAUGUCAAGUGGAUGAAGAUUUUAUGAACAAACAUACCUAGAGCAUUUUUAGACAAACAUUUGCUCUAGUCAACGUCUAGUUGUGUUCACUUACUAUUGUGUGAUAGUUUAAGUAAGAAACUCAUACUCAAUAGCUCAAGGACGAAGAUAUCAUGAUUUCAUAUUUCGAUAUGAAAUCAUAUGUCCAAACACUUACUUAUAAAAGGAACACGAGCAUAUGCAAUUUAUUAAUUGACGGCUUAGAAUAUUUCGAUAUCUCAUUUAUGAACUAUAAUUUACCUAUUUGGUAAAAUUAUAUAAGAGUUGAUAUCUAUAAACAUUUCGAAACAAUUUAUGUAUAGGUUAUUUGAUACUUAAAUUAUGGGAUGUUGUUCCUAUCCUCUAAACUAUUACUCUCUCCGUCUCAUUUUAUAUGUCACAUUUUUACUUUGCACUUGCAUUAAGAAAUGAUGUAACUUUACCCUUCUACCCUUAUUUAAUGUUUGCUUAAGUCAAUUUAUUAAUAAAUGACAAGAUUAAUUAACUAUUCUUUCAAGGGUAUAAUAAGCAAAAUAUGGUAAUUUAUGCAUAGAUUUUAUAAAAUAACAAGUAUUAUGGUCCAACUAUUUAUAGAAAAGAAUGACAUAUAAAAUAGGACGAAGGGAGUACAUUUUCAAUAUAAAAACUCAUUGCAACGCCAAAUAAUACACAUAGUAACUUCUCUCUUUGUCACGCCCCAAACUCGAGGGACGCAACUGGCUCCUAAUGCCAAAACUCAGGUCCGAGCCGACCCUGCUGAUCCAUUUGCUACUAGCGCAUGGCAGCCACACGCAAUCAAGAAAUCAAACAAGUAUAUCUCGGCUUAAAACUAAGUCAUCGGCCGGCAAGGCCCCUGUCAACUGAUCUAUAAAAGAAACAGCUACUCCCAGGAGAUCAUAUAAAUAAAUAGACAACUAGUACAGAAGUCCUGAUUGGGCCGUCGAGGCCACCAUGAUAUCUAUACCAAAANNNNNNNNNNNNNNNNNNNNNNNNNNNNNNNNNNNNNNNNNNNNNNNNNNNNNNNNNNNNNNNNNNNNNNNNNNNNNNNNNNNNNNNNNNNNNNNNNNNNNNNNNNNNNNNNNNNNNNNNNNNNNNNNNNNNNNNNNNNNNNNNNNNNNNNNNNNNNNNNNNNNNNNNNNNNNNNNNNNNNNNNNNNNNNNNNNNNNNNNNNNNNNNNNNNNNNNNNNNNNNNNNNNNNNNNNNNNNNNNNNNNNNNNNNNNNNNNNNNNNNNNNNNNNNNNNNNNNNNNNNNNNNNNNNNNNNNNNNNNNNNNNNNNNNNNNNNNNNNNNNNNNNNNNNNNNNNNNNNNNNNNNNNNNNNNNNNNNNNNNNNNNNNNNNNNNNNNNNNNNNNNNNNNNNNNNNNNNNNNNNNNNNNNNNNNNNNNNNNNNNNNNNNNNNNNNNNNNNNNNNNNNNNNNNNNNNNNNNNNNNNNNNNNNNNNNNNNNNNNNNNNNNNNNNNNNNNNNNNNNNNNNNNNNNNNNNNNNNNNNNNNNNNNNNNNNNNNNNNNNNNNNNNNNNNNNNNNNNNNNNNNNNNNNNNNNNNNNNNNNNNNNNNNNNNNNNNNNNNNNNNNNNNNNNNNNNNNNNNNNNNNNNNNNNNNNNNNNNNNNNNNNNNNNNNNNNNNNNNNNNNNNNNNNNNNNNNNNNNNNNNNNNNNNNNNNNNNNNNNNNNNNNNNNNNNNNNNNNNNNNNNNNNNNNNNNNNNNNNNNNNNNNNNNNNNNNNNNNNNNNNNNNNNNNNNNNNNNNNNNNNNNNNNNNNNNNNNNNNNNNNNNNNNNNNNNNNNNNNNNNNNNNNNNNNNNNNNNNNNNNNNNNNNNNNNNNNNNNNNNNNNNNNNNNNNNNNNNNNNNNNNNNNNNNNNNNNNNNNNNNNNNNNNNNNNNNNNNNNNNNNNNNNNNNNNNNNNNNNNNNNNNNNNNNNNNNNNNNNNNNNNNNNNNNNNNNNNNNNNNNNNNNNNNNNNNNNNNNNNNNNNNNNNNNNNNNNNNNNNNNNNNNNNNNNNNNNNNNNNNNNNNNNNNNNNNNNNNNNNNNNNNNNNNNNNNNNNNNNNNNNNNNNNNNNNNNNNNNNNNNNNNNNNNNNNNNNNNNNNNNNNNNNNNNNNNNNNNNNNNNNNNNNNNNNNNNNNNNNNNNNNNNNNNNNNNNNNNNNNNNNNNNNNNNNNNNNNNNNNNNNNNNNNNNNNNNNNNNNNNNNNNNNNNNNNNNNNNNNNNNNNNNNNNNNNNNNNNNNNNNNNNNNNNNNNNNNNNNNNNNNNNNNNNNNNNNNNNNNNNNNNNNNNNNNNNNNNNNNNNNNNNNNNNNNNNNNNNNNNNNNNNNNNNNNNNNNNNNNNNNNNNNNNNNNNNNNNNNNNNNNNNNNNNNNNNNNNNNNNNNNNNNNNNNNNNCCUAAAUUUUAGAGAAAUCUUUAAAAAGGAACUUACGAUAACUUUCGCCAACUUUUAUUUUGCCACUUACCUAACUUCAAAACAUGAGAUGCAACACUUGAACACUUAAAUUAGGACAUACCACAUCAUUCUAAAUUUAUUACCCACCCUCCUUGUCUUUCCGUGGAGAUACGAGUAAUUUUAGACGUUUCAAAAAGUCGGGGUGUUACAUUCUUCCUCCCUUAGAAACAUUCGUCCUCGAAUGAAAAAUCUGAGUCACAUGGUUAAGUCCUUAAGGAUUGACAAAAUUUAGGUAGAGUAUCCUUUUUAAAUACGAAUAGCCAGGAACCUAGAACGCAGAAAUUCUAACCUAAGCGUCUCACAGGAUGACAUAAAUAGCUAAGCACUAUAGCUCCACCAUAACAGUGCGAGCAGAUAUACAACAACAACCAUAAUAAUAAUAAGCAAUAAUACAUAUAAUUUUAUUUUUUUUAGAUUGGUAUCUUACCUUACUGAUCUAAUAUAAACUGAUAUGCCAUCACCCUGGGGUAUGAAACAAGUGAGGAUAUUUGGACCUCAUGCCAUCCUCAGCUUCCCAGGUCACCUCUUCUCUAUUUUUGUUCCUCCACAAUACUUUAACCGAAGACACCUCUUUGGUCCUCAAUUUACGGACAUGCANNNNNNNNNNNNNNNNNNNNNNNNNNNNNNNNNNNNNNNNNNNNNNNNNNNNNNNNNNNNNNNNNNNNNNNNNNNNNNNNNNNNNNNNNNNNNNNNNNNNNNNNNNNNNNNNNNNNNNNNNNNNNNNNNNNNNNNNNNNNNNNNNNNNNNNNNNNNNNNNNNNNNNNNNNNNNNNNNNNNNNNNNNNNNNNNNNNNNNNNNNNNNNNNNNNNNNNNNNNNNNNNNNNNNNNNNNNNNNNNNNNNNNNNNNNNNNNNNNNNNNNNNNNNNNNNNNNNNNNNNNNNNNNNNNNNNNNNNNNNNNNNNNNNNNNNNNNNNNNNNNNNNNNNNNNNNNNNNNNNNNNNNNNNNNNNNNNNNUAGAGCCCUGCAUAGUUUUCGGCCGAAAAAGUAGCCUUGACUGGUAAGAAAUGGGCUGACUUUGUUACUCUAUCAACAAUUACCCAAAUUGAGUCAAACUUGCGAUGAGAUCGAGGUAGUCCUGUAANNNNNNNNNNNNNNNNNNNNNNNNNNNNNNNNNNNNNNNNNNNNNNNNNNNNNNNNNNNNNNNNNNNNNNNNNNNNNNNNNNNNNNNNNNNNNNNNNNNNCGGCCGGCUAGUGAAUAUGUAUGAUUCUGGCCACUACCAGAACUAGAUGCUCCUUCUAUGCCUCUGCCUCUACCUCUACCUGCUGAAGUCUGGGGUCCACGCCCCGUAGACUGUGCUGAUGAAGAGGAACCUACUACUGACCUGGUCGACUGACUUAUACCACCCUGACCUAUGGUUGGGCAAUUUCUCCACCCAUGCCCCUCUUGUCCACAAGAAUAACAACCUGUGGAACCCUGUUUGCACCUCCCGAAAUGCAUCCUACCACAAGUUGCGCAACGCGGCGGUGCUGUGCUAGUCUGGCCCGAGCCUCUCUGCUGCUGAGAGCCUGAUACUCGUGAACCCUCACCUGGGCCUGACUGUCCCUGACGAUCAAAAUCUACUCCCCCUGGAACUGCUGUGGUGGAGGUCUAGGUGGCCUACUAGAAUAUCGACGUUUGGGACCAUNNNNNNNNNNNNNNNNNNNNNNNNNNNNNNNNNNNNNNNNNNNNNNNNNNNNNNNNNNNNNNNNNNNNNNNNNNNNNNNNNNNNNNNNNNNNNNNNNNNNNNNNNNNNNNNNNNNNNNNNNNNNNNNNNNNNNNNNNNNNNNNNNNNNNNNNNNNNNNNNNNNNNNNNNNNNNNNNNNNNNNNNNNNNNNNNNNNNNNNNNNNNNNNNNNNNNNNNNNNNNNNNNNNNNNNNNNNNNNNNNNNNNNNNNNNNNNNNNNNNNNNNNNNNNNNNNNNNNNNNNNNNNNNNNNNNNNNNNNNNNNNNNNNNNNNNNNNNNNNNNNNNNNNNNNNNNNNNNNNNNNNNNNNNNNNNNNNNNNNNNNNNNNNNNNNNNNNNNNNNNNNNNNNNNNNNNNNNNNNNNNNNNNNNNNNNNNNNNNNNNNNNNNNNNNNNNNNNNNNNNNNNNNNNNNNNNNNNNNNNNGAGGUUUUUUUUUUUUUUUCAUUUUUAGUUUUAAAGAAAUAAUUUGUAGCCACGUUAAUAUAUUUUAUUUAUCUUACAUCAUAAAUUUUAAUAUAUUUUUUACUUAAAAUUAAUAAAAGUUAAAUAUCAUCACGACAGAAAUAAUUCCUUUUUUCAAUAUCUCACUUAACAUGGAGUAUUUAUUUAAUAGCAUAAAUACAAAGAACAUUUUAUUACCAAUACAUAUCUUAUUUUAAUUUAUUUUUUUAUAUGGAACACUUGGAAUAUGUUUAUGUACACGUGUGUGAGGAGUUGGGGGGUGGGGUGGGUUGUUGAGUGAAAAAGAGAGAUCUGGAGAAAUGUAGGCUUCUACGUGGCAAGUGUGUAGAUUAAAGUAAAGCCAAAUAGACAAACCAAAAAUAUCAAACUGAAAAAAAUAAAAUGGAAUCAAAUGCUCCAAAAAUAUAUUUAUUGGUUUUGGUUUGAUGCAAAUUUUCAUAUUUAAUAAGGAAAAACCCCCAGCAAUAAUAGUUGAACCACAAUUUUUUUUUUUCCAUUCGAUGUUCAAUUUUGCACCGAGAAGUCCUAUAUUGGAGGUGUACUCCCUAAUAAAGGUGAUUUCAUAUCUAAGGGAACUCAAAUUCGAUAUCUCUUGAUUAAGGAUGAAUAAGUACGUAUCACUCCACCACAAUUCUUAUUGGUAAACCACAAUUAAAUCAAUUCCAAUUACAUUAUAUAACACUUUCAAUUUUAGGUCUAGAAAUUGAUUAAAAUAUAAUGUACCUUGUUUAAUUUUCAACCUUUCUUUAACAUGGAGGUGUAGUCUUUGACAUGUGGUUUUUGGAAUCCACUGUUAUUGUGUCAAUUGGCCUAGUAUUUUUAAUUUACUUAAUUUAAUAAGCAUAUUGUGUUAUGAAUCCCAAGUUGACUAGGAAAUUUUAAUAGGUUAGUUGAUUAAUUAUACUAAAUUUUAUUUUAUCAGUGAGGAUUUAAUUUCCACCUGAAAAUUAAUUUUCAAAAUUAGAUUUGUCAUUUUGAUGCGCCAAAAAUUAGCUAAAUUCGAUGAUUAAUGAAUUCUCAAAUAAAGAAAUUACAUCUUAUUCACUUAGGAAUUAAAAUUAGGUUUUUCUAACUCAAAACACCAAUUAAAUUAUGAAACUACUGAUGGAUUAGCAAGAAAGUAAUAAAUAUUAGGUUAUAUUCUUACCUCCAAAUUGAAUCAUAAAAAUCCUCUUUGAAAUUGCAUAAAUCAAACUCUCAAAGUCUCAAAAUCGAGUUAUGAACACGUAAAAAUCUAUAGAAGCGGAAGGAACCUGCCACGGUCAAAAUUAUGAAAAUCGUGUGGAUACCUAUUCUAUUUUAACUCGAUAGGCAAAUCUUUAUCACUCAUACCCAGAGGCGGACCCACACUAUGGAGAAGGGGCGCAAAACUUCCGAAAAAAUCAUAUGUAUAUUUAUUUUGAAAAACUGGUAGAAAUUAAGAUAUAGUUAACAGUGCACUCAUGAGAUGCAUAGAAGCGCUCUUGUGCUAGUGGUACAAGCUAGGAGUAUCACCUUUGAGACCAGGGUUCAAAUCUAAAGCCUUUUUUUUAUUGUUUUUAUUUUAAGUUUAGCUUAGAGCUCAUAUUUGAGUUAAGGUUAUAUUGGUGCACCCAAAGUCUUCAAAUCCUAGAUUCGCCUCUGCUCAUACCUAUUUAAAUAAGAAAAAUCUUUUAGGAGACAUAACCGGAUUAACAAAGUAAAAUAAAAUAAGAAAAUCUAUUCGACUUACAAAAUCAUUAACAACUCUCAUGGAUCUAGUCUAGACAUGUAUAAGAGUUGCUAUCUAAAGAAUAAGAGUCUCGACAAGGAAUAGAUUUGUCUAUAAGCACGAAAUUGAUGUGGCAAACUAUAUCACAACGACAGGCUCACAAUGUAGGGCAACUUUCAUUAAGCUUUGGAUCUAAGAAUUCUAUGAUAUAUGGAGAGUUUGGGAUUUUUCUCUCUGGUCUCUUUGGGUUUAGGUUGAAAAAUAUUUAAAUUGGAGAAGAUGAGAUUUCUCUCGACCACCGCCCUAUAGGGCUCAUCUCUGGUGUUUGUAGUCUCACAAAACUGUGAAUAUCUCUCUAUUCUGAAGUCGUAUGAAUGAACGGUUUGAUGCGUUGGAAACUAGACUCGUAGACCUUCGAUUCGAUAGUUUGUGGACCCCAUAACUCUUUAUAUAUUGGGAGAAAACCUCCAAAACAUUUGACCCAAAUUUCAGAGAAAUCUUUAAGAAGGAACUUACGAUAACUUCCGCCAACUUUUAUUUUGCCACUUACCUAACUUCAAAACAUGAGAUGCAACACUCGAACACUUAAAUUAGGACAUACCACAUCAUUCUAAAUUUAUUACCCACCCUCCUUGUCUUUCCGUGGAGAUACGAGUAAUUUUAGACGUUUCAAAAAGUCGGGGUGUUACACUCUUUAUUAUGUGUGAGAAUUAAAAAAUAUAAUUUACAUAAAUCACUUAGUGUUAAGAGCUAAGUACAUUAUUUUACUACUCUUUUUCAAAUUACAAAAAUUCCUUAAAAUUUAUGAAUUUUGGAUACAUUACUUGGACUUCCGGAUACAUCACUGGACAUCCAGAUACAUAGAAAAGGGAUAUAUCUGAGAGGGGAGAGAUGUAUCAGAGAGGGAUAGGACAUCUAGAUACAUAGGAGAGAGAGAUAUUCGAGAGGGGAGAGAUGUAUCAGAGAGGAGAGGAAUGUAUCCGAAAGGGGAUAAGAUGUAUUAGCGAGAGGAGAGUGAUGUAUCCGAGAGAUUUUUGAAAGUUUUUUAAAUGGUAGAAAAUUUUAAAAAUUAUGAUAAAAUAAAAUGUAUAUUAAAAUAAUUUUUCCUUAAAAAUAAGUCGGAACCUACCCCAUCCAUAUUGGAUUUACUUCUAAUUCAUUUAAAAGGAUGUUCAAGAAUUUGUUACAUUAAGCAAAUGCCUAAGGAUAUUUGGAGUUCAAUUCAGUGAACGGUUAUCUCGUAUGGUUUUCACAAGGGUUUGGUUUUCAACAGCCUCGAUGCAGGCACCACCCUAAGAAUUGAAUGGAAAAAUUGAAUGAAGACAUUCGAUUGGACAGAUUUUCGUAUACACCUACCAUUUUUCGGACCAUCUACUUCCCCACAUUCUUAGCUAUUGUCUCGUUUCUACCGUGAUAUCGAUAUCUCGACUUGAAAUGGUAGAAUUUAGAGUUUUCAAGAAGUAAAUUAAAAAUAUAUUUUUAAAAAAUUAAAAUUAAUGUUUCGGCAAAAAAAGUUGUUAUACAUGUCAAGUGGACGAAGGUUUUAUGAACAAACAUGCCUAGAGCAUUUUUAGACAAACAUUUGCUCUAGUCAAUGUCUAGCUGUGUUCACUUACUAUUGUGUGAUAGUUCAAGUAAGAAACUCACUCUCAAUAGCUCAAGGACGAAGAUAUCAUGAUUUCAUAUUUCGAUAUGAAAUCACACGUCCAAACGCCUACUUAUAGAAGGAACACGAGCAUAUGCUAUUUAUUAAUUGACGACUUGGGAUAUUUCGAUAUUUCAGUUAUGAACUAUAAUUUACUUAUUUGGUAAAAUUAUAUAAGAGUUGAUAUCUAUAAACACUUUGAAAUUAAUACUUAAAUUAUGGGAUGUUGUUACUAUCCUCUAAACUAUUACAUUUUUUCAAUAUAAAUACUCACUGCAACGCCAAGUAAUACACGGAGUAACUUCUCUCUUUAUUAUGUGCGAGAAUUAAAAAGUAUAAUUUACAUAAAUCACAUAGUGUUAAGAGCUAAAUACAUUAUUUUACUACUCUUUUUUAAAUUACAAAAAUCCCUUAAAAUUUGUGAAUUUCGGAUACAUCACUUGGACUUCCGGAUACAUCACUGGACAUCCAGAUACAUAGAGAAGGGAUAUAUCCGAGAGGGGAGAGAUGUAUCAGAGAGGAAUAAGACAUCCAGAUACGUAUGAGAGAGAUGUAUCCGAGAGGGGAUGUAUAAGAGAGGUGAGGGAUGUAUCCAAGAAAGGAUAAGAUGUAUCAACGAGAUGAGAGUGAUGUAUCCGAGAGGGGAUUUUGUGAAAAAAUUUCAAGUGAUAGGAGAUUUUAAAGAUUAUGAUAAAAUAAAAUUUGUAUUUAGGUAAUUUUUCUUUAAAAAUAAGUCGAAAUCUACCCCAUCCAUAUUGGAUGUACUUCUAAUUAAUUUAAAUGGUGUUUACCCAAUGAAACACGUGAAAGGUAAGUACUAAAAAUAGUAAGUUGGAUUAAAUACAAUUAGUGUAAUUAUAAUAGUUCAGUUGAUUAAUUAUUCUAAUCCAACCAAUUUCUCUACUUGUCCAGCAGUAGAGAUAGUACUUUAAUUACAGAUUAAACCGAACUCAAAAGCUUUAAUUCAAAUCUUAAAUUUGUAAAAAAAUGGAAAAAAAGUGCUAAUCUUGUUAAUGAUGGUAGAAUUAGGUGAAUGUUAAUCACAAUUACUGCUACUAUAUAUACUAUUUGUCUGUUCUUCCAUUUUCCCUCCUACCACUUACAAGCAACGUGUCAGCUUUGCCAUAUUUCAGUUUCCACACCGAUGGCAGCUUCUACCUUUGUCUCUGCAACAAGCAUGAACUCUCUCUGUAAACCCUAAGCUCACCUCUUUAAUUUCACUGUCCACAAUGCUCUGUUCCAUCUCUACCCAGAAAUCGGCCGGUUCAAACUGGCUAGACCGGCUCCGAUCAUCAAAGGGCUUCUCCUUUGCCGACAACCGCAAUCUCGAACAAUUUAUCACUCACCAGACUCCUAAUGGAUCUGAUUCUCUUCCUCCCAGCACCGAAACUGAGAUAAGAGACAGUAAUAAUAAUAUCGGUUCGGAAUCCAGCUCGGAUCCAAUUCGGCCCGUAAACGAACCGGUCCUCCAUCGGGACCAAGCUCCGGCAGCACCACAUAACAGUGGAGACAACGAAGAACUGUGUAGUGUAGUUACGAAUGUUCUCUCCGAGCUAUUUUGUAUGGGGGAGUCAACUAGUUUCCCUAAGUUCAGUGUAAAAAGGGGCUCCCGCAAACAGACGAACCCUAGGUUUUGUGCUUCAUCGGAAAUCAACAGCGAUGCGGUAGUCGAGGGUGGUCAGAGGAAAGAAGAAACUGAGUCGCUGGACAAAUGUCGGGUGGAAAUUAAGGAUUCUCAGGUCAAGCUAUUAGAGCAGGGCCAUAAUUUGAACUUAGCGGAAGAGGAGGACAAGUCCAACGCCAAUUUGAUGGGAUUUUCACGGACUGAAGUAAUGGUGAUAGAUACGAGCUGUGCACCGUGGAAAUUUGAGAAAUUGCUUUUCAGAAAGAAGAACGUUUGGAAGGUUCGUGAUAAAAAAAGUAAGACGCUGAAUUGGGGGAAGAAGAAGAGGAAAGCUGAUGUGACAAGUGAGGAUGCUCGUGGCGAGAAGAAACAGAAGUUUAUAAGCGGGCAUGAUGGUUAUGCUGCAAAAGGGAGAGAAUGCAAGUCUUCAGUCAGUGAAGUAAGUUCAAUUAAACCAAUUAUGCUACUAGUGAUCAUGUUUGGUUAUAUGCUUGUUUGGUAGUACUCAGUAAUUAAGAUCCUUUUUAUGGAGUGUGAUCAAAUACUGACAUCUAUGUAUCACAUGCUUCGUGUUACUGAUGGAAGUUUUUUUAAUUAUGUAGAGUUCUUGUUAUUUUAUGUUUCAAUAAUGCAAGAAGCAAGUUAAAUCUUCCAUAUCUUCGUGGUUCUCAUAUGGAUGAUGUCGUAAAUGCACAUGUAGAAUGUAUCUGCAUAUCAAUUAAGCUCAUAUAGGUUUGAUGUAAUGGAACUACGCAUGCCCAAUUUAAUGAUGGCUAGUGAUAUGGUCAUAUGACCUACAUAUUCGAUCUUGGUUUCACUUCACAAGUGCAUUGUGAAUUAGAACGUUGGUCACAAUAGAUAUAUGAACGCUUAAUUAUAUCAAGCUAGCUAAUAUGUUCCAACUUUCUUUUGCGUUAAGUUGCUUGCUUAUCAAAAACAGUAGAUACAAGUAAGUGUAAACUAAUUAUUGGAAAAAGUAUUCUCGCCAUCAGUAUAUUGUUUAAUCUUGACUAGGGUUUAGCAUAUACUGGAGCUACUUUAGGAUGACCGAAGCAUACCAUGUUACUUUCUAAAGAAGGCUUAAUUUUUAGUGCAUAAUUACUUGUCAUCCUUGUGCAAAUGGACUAUCCUUUUCUGUUACUACUAUAUCAAGCAUUUUUAUAUGGAUUUCAAGCUCCAUUUGAAAUGUAAACUCUGAUCAUGUAUAUUACUUAGUAGCCUUCCGUUUGAAAAUGAUGAUAGUGGGUCGCUAUGCUGCUAUUUCUAAGUCAUGUUUAUCAUUAACUAUACUUCAUGUUUUUAUCAAAACAUUCACCACAUUAAUGUGUUGGAGCUCUCCUCUCUGAUAUUUAUGGUAGCUUUGCAUCGUAUGCCUCUUGCAACGUUGUGGGGUAAAAUUCAUUUCUAGUUGUGCUGUUCUCCGAAUGAAACUUUUCUUCUU
RNAcentral lists this long non-coding RNA (84261 nucleotides) under Solanum tuberosum (potato). RNAcentral's name for it is "long non-coding RNA (STUB_LNC003967)". The stretch from base 39847 to 39898 matches the Rfam family "MIR1886 microRNA precursor family". Lineage: Eukaryota; Viridiplantae; Streptophyta; Magnoliopsida; Solanales; Solanaceae. The record is from RNAcentral.